UCAUCAUCAUCCCCGCACCCCAUCAACUGCUACGUACGGAUGAACUAAUUAACACACGCAUGCAUGCAAAUAUACGAUGCUUAAUUAAUUAACACCGAUCGAUCCCCAUUAAAACCAAACCACAUCGAUCAGACGUCGAAGGUGUUCUUGCCGGUGAACUUGACCUCAAUCGGGCUAACAUUCUUCCCGAUGCUCCUGAAAUUCUGCCCGACGCCCUGCCUGCCGGCGUUCACCUUCUCCGGGUACACCCCGUCCUUGGGGUGGAGGUACUGCACCUCGCCGCUGGGGAAGACGCGGUAGAACUGGUAGGCGAUCUUGUACUUGGAGCGGAGCCGGUUGCCGAGCGCCAGGCACUGCUCCUUGCGCGCCAGCUUGAGGAGGUUGGGCCCCUCACGCAUGAUGGCGGCGCCGCCCGUCGGCAUCUCGAACACCUGCUCCUUGGGCGACGUCCACGUGAUGACGUAGAAUUCCUCGACCUGGGCUUUGCGGAGGAGCCCGCCCGUGCUGCCGCCGAAGAUUGGGGAUGGGGUUGAGGGGUCGAGCUGGGGCGGGACGAAGCCGGCGGGGGCUGGGGUGGCGACGGGAGCCGCCGGGGUUUCUGGGGCGGCGGCGUGGAGGGCGGUUGGGGCGCGGGAGGUGGGGGAAGGGAAGGCGAGGGAGCGGGGUUUGGGGGAGGAGGAAGGGGACCGGGUGGCGGCGAGGAGGUGGCGGGUGGCGGCGGAGGCUUGCGUGGCCAUGGCCAUGGCGGGAGCUAGCUUAGCGAGAGCAAGGAGCGCGCGUGUGGGGGAUGGAUAUGGAUCGGAGUUGAUGGAGGGAAGAAGAAGAAGGGGUGGCUGAGCUUUGGCUAAAGAGGGGAUUGGGGGUGGAGAAGCGGAUAAGGGGAUAUGAGGCCGGCCAAUGGGGAGCCCGGGUUUUGAUACGGCCGGAGCGGGAGGCUUGGCGUGGCGACCACAGAAAACACAAUACAAAUCGCAGCGUGUCAACGUGCACUGGGGUCGCCGGUCGCGGUUUUCCGUGGAUUUUCCUUCCACUCUGUAUGUAUCCGACGACGUUCUAGAUCUUUUCCGUAAAGAGUUGCUUUAGUCGAUUUAAGGUGAGAGCAUUGGAAGCACUACAUGUAACGUGAAACACUGGCGUAACGUAAGUUGUAUUGCUCCAUAACCAGCUGCGACAUUCAUGUAGUGCUUACAUUGUAGUAGAAGGUAAGUACAAGUACAAGGGCUGCCGAGUGUACAGGUGUGCCGUUGAUUCAGGCCGGGAAUUGGGGACGUUGUCACGUUGACUUGGCCCAAACAAAGGAGAGUAGACUACUCUAAUUUGGUCUUCCCUGGAAACCUGGAGAGCCUGUCUCCUAGUGGUACAGGCUUAUGUUGCAGGCCGGGCUACAGGUGCGUAUUACGUAUUGGCUGGGCCGGCCUUUUCUGGGCCGGACAAGAUCGGUAGAAACAAUUUUUCCGAGGCAGGUAAACUGGCUCUAACGAAAUUUGCUGAAUUUGUUUUAUGAAUUUGGUGUAAAAAAAUACACAUGAAAGUAUGAUUAAAUUUAUCAGCGAAAUAAUUCAAUAAGAAAAAACAUGGGUACAUGAAACGGGAUUAUCAGAAACAUUCACGUUGUACCCCCUCCGUCCUAAAUAAGAAGUCCUAGGUUUAUAGAAAAGUCUAGAACUAUAAAUUACUUUUAUGAAAUCUUUCAUCGUAUGGCACCAUCUUUAUCUCGCCUUCAGCAUCGAUAUUCAGAGCCUUGAUUCCACCUGAUCAUCAUUGGGUCAGCUUGUUUCUGUUCGUACGAUGUCUCACAUACCAACCGAUUCUACACUCUGUACAUCAUCGAUGACCAUAAGGAUUUGCGCUAAUCCGCUCCUCCCGUUGUCCAUCGUCCGUCCGUGUGAGUCAUCUUGUAGCUCGCUCGUGUCAUCCUGCGUGCAUGUUCUCUUUCAGAAUGGUGAGAGGGCAUGCCUGCUCAAAUAUGGGACAGCAUGUCAACAAGCUCCCAUUCACUCUCUGCCACAUAUCCAGAUGAUGCUUGAAAUGCUUGAAAACUAAUGCAUGACGGGAGUUGGCAGGAGACAAGGGUGAUGACCUAAGGGGCCACGAAAAAGAAAAGAGGAAGAGAAAAUACAAGGACAUUUUGGUCUAAAUUCCUACCGUGUUUCUGUAAGUUUCAAGAAGUUGAUGUCGAAUUUAUCCGAAAUUGGUUUUUCUCAGCAGCUUCUAUUAAUACAGAAAAAUUGUCCUUGCAAUGGCAUUUAGCCAAUUAAUUAUAAGGAAAUAGUUUCUUGAAUCUUCAAAAUAAUCGUAUGAAAGAAAACCAUGCGGUUGCAAAUAUGGAUCCUUUCAACACCCACGUUUUCUUCAACAAAACAAGUCUUAGAAAAUAUAGCCGCUGCACCCACGACCCAACCUAGGGCGCCAAAGCCAAACUGUAGACCAGAAAAACCCUGGACCAUCCACGCCGUCCAUCUCCGAUCCUACGUCCACGGGCUUCCCCACGGCGAAGAGCAGCGGCCUCGAUAUAGGAGGGAGUCGCUGCUUCGUCGGCCCUUCUCGCCAAAGGAAACGCAGCCCAGGAAGCAACAGCCUCAUCUCCCCCCCUCCCAAGAACUCCCCUCUCUGCUCCAAGCUCCGGCCCCCAAUCUCCUGCAGAUUUCUCCCCCGCGAAUCGCCGGCGGAGCAGCGGAUCUGCGAGCAUUCUCUCGCCCCCUUCGGUCUCCUGGCGGCGCACGGGCGACCAUGGCCUAGGGUUUUGCUCUCGCCCUCUCUCGCUGAACUGCUGGGAACCCGGCGCCGCUGGGCUAGACCGUGCCGGCGGCUGAGCUAGGGCGUGUUCGGGGCAGGUCGGGCGUGGCGGCGGCUGGUCGGGGAAGCAAGUCGGGCCUGGCGGCGCGCUGACCUGGGAUAGGAGGAGGGCCACGAGUGUUUGCGGCGGCAAGACCGGCAACCGGCAGCAGGACCUCCUCUGCUUCAGUUUCGGCUUCUGGUGGUUCGUUGCUCCGAAUCCUGAGGUAUAAACCCUAACUCACUGUUGAUUCGUGGAGAAGUUGUGGAUCCGGUUGGUGGCCAGUAGAUCCGCUUGGUUUCGCCCUUCCUCGGUUUGAUUAUGUUGGUAGAUGAGUUGAAAUCCCUCCGUUAGCACUGUUACUUCUGGAGAAGAGGGACGUUUUUUUUUUGCCUUGCACCGGCAGUUUGUAGUGGGAGUAUGUGCUUCUGACUUCCAUUUUUUGUUGUAAAAUAGUAGUACUCCGUAUUUGUUUGGUUAAUUGUUCAUAUUUAUUGCAAAAACUUCUCCACAAACUAUUGAUGUGUUGCGUUUUGUUGUUGUUGCUAAACACUCAAACUGGCCAUCACCGGCUUAACCAAACAUUCAAAGUGACUCAUCCAAGUCCAUCAAAUCUUGGUCGCCUGCCCACCCGUCUGCCCAUCUUCAACCAAACUUAGUUUCAGUUUAUACUUUGUACCCCAACUAUGCUUUUACUACCAGCUAGAGGAGAUUUAACAGUCACUCGAAGAUGUCGAAUCUACCCGUAGAGAACUAUUUUAUAUAUUUUUUAAAUUCAUUCUGGUCUGCAGUUUAGGAUUUAGCUGCUGACGGAUUUGCUCUUUCAGGAUAACGAUGGAUCAGGAUAAGGAAUCAAGACCCUCAAGGUCACCCAGUGAGCCAAACUUAUUCCUGCAAUGGGGCAGCCGGAAGCGGCUUCGCUGUGUCAAGACACGCGAAGAUGGCUCGCCAUCACCAGCUCGGUCUGAUGUGCUUAGACGUACCAUACCCCGAGUAAAUCGGCCCCUUCUGGGUGGUGAUGUUGCACAAUUUCGUUCACCACGGCGCCCAAGCACUCUUCAUAGCAGGUAAUUCCCAUACGCAUAUGCCCCUUUUGUGUAGCAGUGGAAAAUGUCAAGAAAUGCCUUAGUAGGGUGUCUCAACAUGAUGUUUGUCAGCAGGAAAUCUGAGGCACAGGCGAGUGAGAACAGGCAGUCCAUGUCGCUCUCGCCAGAGAAAGACCGGUAUUACUCCACUAGGGGUUCCCCAUUUCAUUUUGAGGGGAAUGGUUUUGAUUUCAAUGGUGGAGUGGAAGAGAAGGGCACCACAGCUCUGCCAAGGUUCUUCAUCUCACUGUCCAACAAGGAGAAAGAGGAGGACUUCAUGGUAAUGAAGGGCUGCAAGCUUCCACAGAGGCCGAAGAAGAGGCCAAAGUUGAUGCAGAAGUCCUUGCUUGUAAUGCUUUCUUCCACAAAUUUAACUGCAAAGUUUUGCUCUUUUCAAAGCUGUGAAUUGUGUUCAUGCUCAUUUCUAACACUCUUGUUUUUCACCGUUGUGCAUGUCCAUAGAUGGUAUGCCCAGGAGCAUGGCUGUCAGACUUGUCACAUGAGAGGUAUGAAGUUAGAGAGAAGAAGAGUUCCAAAAAGGUAAACCUAGACUGCAAUCAUUUCUGUUUGGUUGCAAGUAACCUAACUGUUCUCUUAGUUCAAAUUUAAGUUCAUCUGUGUACAGUUGUUAACACGUGCAAAAUCAUUCAGCAGAGGGCUAGAGGACUGAAGGCUCUGUGCAUGGAGAGUGAUUCAGAGUAGAGAUUGAGGAGGGGGUCAAUUUUUUUUGACUUGUGCUGGAGGCAGAAAGACAGCGGUACUUAAGUAGCAAUGGUGGCUCUUUAACUAGACAAACCUCAGCAGCUAAUUUAGCAGGGGGGAUCAGUGCCUGCGCCCCUCCCUUAUUCACCCAUGUUGUAUGUCCAUUAUCCCACCCCCUUUUUUUUGUCGAGACUCGAAAGAAAUUGUCACCUGGAACUAUUGCACAAUGACCAAAUCAGUAAUCUUAGAUUCUGCCUGAUCUAGUGAUCCUGCUCUAGUUUCGAAAAACGACCUAGGUUUGUGGGUUGGUUAUGACUGAUAUUGCUGUGGUCACUUGGAUGGAGGUUUUGUGGGCACCUGGUUGUUCAUGCAUGAUCUUUCCACCUCUGUAGCCGGUGGUUGGUCGGUAUACUGCUUAGACUACCCUUGUCUUGGGCUUUCAGAGUGGUUCGAUGCCUCGGUAGUUUUUGUUUGGUGGCUCCGUUGGUUGGUGCUUAUCUGGGACAUAACCAAUGGAUGCCAUCACCUCCAUUUCGCAAGUUUAACCUACCUCGUGAGGAAGAAGGAAAGAACUCUUCAUUCUUUUAACAGCAAAGAAGGAAAAGACUCUUUGUCGAGCCUUUUUGCAGGCCUGUGGAAAAAACUCUUGAAAUCUGAAAUCUGCGGGGUUCCUAGACUCCCGACCUGUGCUAGAGCCCAUGGACCUGUUCCUAAAGACCGCCGACGCUUCCGGCCUCGAAGAUAAUGCCAGCCCAGUAGAUGAGAACAUCUCGGUUCUCGACGAGGACGGGCUCAGCAGCUAGUCAGUCAGUCAACCCAUGUCCAAUGACUCCACUAUCCAGUUUCUUCGCUCAAAAAAAAAGAAAAAUCCAGUGUUUUCCUUCUUUUUUUCGGACGGAGGCAGCCCUAAAUCGCCCGAUGAUCAUGGACAUGCCGCCCGUACGUACUCUGGAGUAUGGUAAGUACACGCACUGUACAAUCGGUAAGGACAUACGGAUCGAACCGGUCGCCACGGACCGUGAGACAGCUCGUCAACGGCUCAGCGCUGCUGCUCUUGCAAGAAACAAUACGGCAGAGGAAGCAAUGCAAGCUUGACUGGCCCGGCCCCGGACCCUGGGAUCCGUCCAUGGCUGAACCUGGCAUGACAUGGAUGAUGGAUCUUUGCUUGCUCCCCAGCCAGAUAGCCAGGCCAAAUCUUCCAUCUUCAAUGGCACCGAUAUGAUCAAUGGAUAUACGAAGCACAUACAUAUCUUCUUUUUAAUAUUCUGGAGUACCGACUGUACAUCCUUUUCCACCUUCAUGUUAAACAAAACUAUACCUGACACAUUCAAACUGCCCAUGAAGGAAUAAUCAAAGAGGACAGAUGUCUUGAUGCUCUGAUGGCUGUCCAGUACCCAGUACCAGCACAGUUAUCAGUUGUUUGUUGGCAUUGAGCAUUUACCAUUUGUCGGUUCAUGGCACACAGGCUGCUGAACUAACGGGCAAAGUUUAAAAGCACGCAAGGCUUCCACAGCACCACAACACGACCAGUUCAAGGUUCACCGGUAAUUAUACUGAAUCUCUCCCGGACGCAUUGCUCCUUUCGAUGCGCCAUAGUGGCAUCCAAAGGAGAGAAAGUCGUCAAGAGAAAUAAUAAAAGCAAGGCACUAAGGCCCCCUUUGGUUAAGCCCAAGAGAGAGCAUACUCCAUGACCAGAAACAAGAGCCAAGUGAAUCAACCAUAUAGGUGAAAGGAGGAAGAGGGUGGUAGGCCACAGCCACAGGCGCACCAACAACAUGCCCAUGCUUCUCUUCAGAAGACUGGCACAGAAAGAGGGAGGGGAAAAAAAGCUCGAGAGAAAAACUAGGAAAGCAACACUGGGACCCCAUUCACAUGACACACGCUAAUCUAGGGCUAAGAAAAACUUGUGCAGAUGGUGUAUUACACUUGAAUGGAUCACUCAGUCAGGGUGUCUUCUGGUCACUGGCAGCUUGCGCUCCUGCCGGGGCCUCCAUAGUAGAAGUAUGAUCCCCAGUCGCCAUUGUUGCCGUUCUGCACGUCGUAGCAGUUCGACUGCUCGGUGAAUGUGCCCACCCCCUUGGGGGCCUUGAGGUUGUUGGUGUUGUCCACCACUUGUAUGUUUUUGAAGUAGCUCGACUUGCUGAACCCUUCCUCUGGGAAGUGCCCGCUACCCAUCUGUGUCGACGUGUGCACGCCGCCGGGCUGCGAGUUCACCACCUCCCCGCCCCACUCGAUCAUCGACGCACUGUCCGCGAGGUAGGAGAAGAGGAAGGACGGCCAGUAGCCGAGGACGUACUCCUUGCCAAACUGCAUCCACCAGUGCCCCUCUUUCGGGUCCUGCUCAACAUAACAUAAGCCUCAGAAAUCGUUUAGAUGACAUGCGGCAUUACAGUACCAGGCGUGUCAAUGCUACGCAAUCAUUAGCACCGACAUACCACAAACUAGACUUUGAGUAAAGGGGAACAAGGGUAGCCAGUUUAGCACCGAGAUGCCGACAUUCAUGUUGCACUAAGCACUUAAGCAGGCCUAUGUAUGCACUCAUCACCCGUGCUCAAUAGAAAUGAAAAACCACUUGACUUUCUAUCUCAAACUCUUGCUUGUUGAGGUAAAAAGGUAGCAAUGCUUCAUGAGACUUCUUUUGACAAACACAAGCUAGAGUAAUCAUCAAGGCUAAAAAAGGUUGUUGACAAAAGAUGUAUUAUAACCACAGGGUUAUGUGGGGGUACUAAAAUAAUUCCCCAGAGUUCAGUCAAGGUUUCAAGGAGCAAGAGUAAAGAAGAGCACAGGAGCAAGUUGGCAGAGACUCUCUGGCCUGCAUGUUUGUGUCAAAUUUCUCUGACCGUAAAAUAGGGCCUGGCAUGUGUCAUGUGUAGUGACUUGUAUCUACAUAGUCCUAGAUUACCUUCCAGAUGAGUAUGCUGAUGUCAUAUUGGGAUCCGGAGUAGCCUGAGAUGGGGAAGAUGCUGGCUCCCAUGGCGACCUCACUGUUGAUCUGAACGAACCCUGCACAUAGUAUGUUGUAGCACCCUGUUGCCUGGUACGCGUCGCUCUACACAAUGCAAAAGAAUUGCAUUUAGUGAACAUCAACACGUCAUAAACAAGCACAUCCCACCAAAUUGCAGGGGUUGAUUUUGCUUACUGUCCAGUAGGUGAACAGCCUUGUGUGGUUGUCCCCGUAGAGGUCCGGACUAACCUGACGAAUCAAAGAAGCAAAAAAGAAGUUCAGAGCUCGUGACACCAACCACAACACAGGAAGAGAGCUAUGCUUCUAUCAACCGCGAAAACGGUGCUGCAUUUACUCUCUACAUGAGCGAUGGAACUGGAGGCAAAGCUCAUGAAGCAGUUGUCUGUGUCUGGUUUACCUGCCAGCCAGCCUCGAUGCUGUUGAGGUCUUCGCCGAAUGUGCCACCCAAGAUCCACAGCUGGGACAGACUGAACUCGUUGGGCUGCUCUAUCUUGGGCUCCCACACGUUGAUCGUCGCCUUGGCGCCAUAGUACUUCUCGCCUUGCACGUACGAUAUCGCGUGCUGAAAACACAAAUUCCACGGCCGGUGAUUAUGGAUUAUACGGCAGGCAGGCUCAAUCAGGAACUCUGAAGAUAGCUAGAUGAGUACAAAUACAAUGUGGGAGGACGUACUUGAUGGCCACCCUCGUUGAGCAUGGAAAGAUCGACAGACAUGGGGUUCGCCACCGUGUGCCGCUUCCUGCCGUACCGCCGGAUCGAGCUCGCCCGGAGCAGGUCGUCCUUCUUGGUCCUCCGGACCGGCACGGUGCCUUCCGGGCACCUGCCCUUCUGGUGCCACAGCUGAACCAUAGGCCUCUCGCCGUCGCCGGAGGAGGCCACAUUGGCCUUGGAUUCGUCGAACAGGCCUUCCGGGUGGUAGUUCGGCCUCAUCUGGAGCAAGCCAAAAUGCUUUAGGAAUAAACCAUAAUCGAAACCAUGGCUUGUACUGACGCAGUUGGAGUCAAAUUUACCUGGAUAGUGUGGUUCUUGAGGAAAGGGUGGUCGAAAGCCGGCUGGUGUGAGAUGUGCACGCAGUCUAUGAUGUCCCCAUCAGGGCUCUGCUCCAUCGAUUCAGAAAACCAAAAUUAGCUGUGUUUGAGCAAGGAUUGGGAGAGAACAGUAUUGCAAAAAGACAGUAGUUUGGCAUCCACUGAAGACUAAGAAUUAGCACAAAAGUUAUGCAAUAAAGAAAUUCGUGCAAGAACAAACACAAAGUGCCACCAGGAGGGGGGAGUGGGGUAUCUUUCCUGUAAAAUUUACACUGGUAUGCUUAAUGUGGCCAAAAGAAAGAUGAGGACUUUUGCACGAAAUGGUAUAAAGACUAAAGAGAAAGAGCGAAUCUCCCCCCAAGAACAAACCACACAAAAAGCCCCGGAGAAAGGCCAUCCUUUUGAAUUAGAUUAGAACUUUAAGAGAUUAGCCAAGAAACUGCAGCUGCCAUCUCGCUCAAAUCCCUCCCAAAUGCAGCUCCUUACAAACGCUAGCUUCGACUGGGAAGGGAAGGAAUCCCCAUCGAGAAAAGCCAUUCAAAUCUUGAGAAGAAGAGCGACAGCAAGAAGACAAUCUCGAAGGGACCUACGCACCUCGAUGCUCUUGACCGCGGGCUUGUUGAGGCGCUUGAGGUGCCGGUGCAUCCUGGCUUCGGGCGACCUCGCCGCGGCGGCGCACGAGAGGCACAUCACUGCCGCCGCGGCCGCCGCCACCAUCAGGCGCGCGACGACACGCACACGCGCGGUGGCCAUGGGCGGCGCUCCGCUCCUCCGCCGCCUCCCCUGCCCCCUCUCGCUCCCGGCUCCGGCUAAAACUCUGAAGACAGAAAAUCCCUUCUCUCUCUACCAAAGACGACCCACGCCGCCGGGGACCGCCGCCGCCGCAAGGCCGGCUCCGAGGGCCUGCCUGCGAAUUUCGAAACAAUGCGGGGGGUGGGGAUGGGAUGGGAUCAGCAGUGGCACGCUCUCUCGCCGCUUCUUGGGCGCCUCGCCGUCUCGGGUUGGGAGGGAUGGGGAGCGGCCGCUAGCGCCUAGUGGUAGUAGUGGGCAGUGUAGGGAGACCCGGCUGUACUAGUUGGUGGCAAGAGAGAGGGCUAGAGGAGCACUCUCGCUCGCACGCUGCAACUUUUGCCGUUUUCCGAGCUUUAACUUCCCUGUAUUCCUGGACCGAAAUGCCCCUUCCUGGUUCGAAAAUUACUUGGGGGCACCCGGAGUACAACAUGGCGGUCUCGGUGAGACUAGGGCUACUCUGAUUCAAAUAAAUAUUCACUCCGUCUCGAAAUAAUUGACUUGAAUUAUUUUGAAUUCUUAUACAAAUUCACGUCAUUUAUUUUAGGACGAAGAAAGUACAUAAGAAUUUUGAAGGAUUUAAAUUCUAAAGACCAUUUUCUUUGCUGGUCGUUUCAUGCACAGUGCUAGAAUCGUUGAGAAUUUUUUUAUGGAUCUUUUGCACUCUAUUUUUGAAGGAAAUCUCCAUUCAAACUUCUAUGUUAGAAUUCAUUUGUUUUUUUGUUCUUAUCCUAAAAGAAGGAAAUUCAUUUGUUUUUUUGUGGUGUGUUAAACAUUCCUUGGAUACUAAUUCUGUACUUUUCAAUCUUAUAGGAUUAUCUUCGAAUGAUUCUUAAGAAAAAUAUGCAACAUUGAUGCUCCCUCCAUUCCAAAAUAUACAUUUCAUAAGUUGACUGUCAGAUUUUCAAAAGUUUAACCAAGCUUAUAGCAAAAAAUAUUCAGUGUCAAACCAAGAUAGUAUGCAAAUAUAUUUCACAAUUGAUAUUAUGAUCUUGAUCCAACACUGCAUGUGUUGGUAUUUUUGUUAUAAGACUGACCAAAUUUAAGACAAUCAACAAAAGUUGUACGUCUUAUUUUUAUAAUGGAGAGAGCAGAUGCUAAGAUUGGCUUAUUCUAAAAGCUAGUCACUCCUUGUAGGAUUAUAAGACUUUGUUCUGAAAAUCUUCUUACAAAGACAAGAAUAAAUAAAUAAAUGAUACAACCUAACACAUGUAUAGUAAGAAAUUUUAAGCUAAGCCAACGUGAUUACUUGUACUGUCUGAUCAUCUUGUGACUUGACAAUAGUUCACUGAGAUGAUACCAAAAAUCAUGAUCAACCAGCACCGGGAGAAAAAUAGCUUUGACAUCCGUACGGCUUACAGGGUUUGGUGGCGCGCAGUCAAAUUAAUCCUUCCCUACCAACACCCGGCGAAACGAACUCGGGGUUAUAAAACCCGAACAUGCUCUUUGUUUCUCGGACGGGUGCCGUCGUCGUCCUCCGUUCACGCCUUGGACGUGCGUUACGUGCAUACAGGCCCGGGCCAACCCAAACGGCUUUAUCCCGUUCUCCCCGGGAGCCCGAAGCGUGCGUGUGCUUGCAUGGCCCCGUUGGUAAUUUCGCUCCAGUCCAGUCCACCGGCUGGCUGUGGGCCAGCAGUCAGCAGUCAGCAGGCCCCACCCACAGUGGGGAAUCGGCCGCGCCACCUACCUCGGGUCCCCGUUUGCGUUUCCCCACGGGUCGCUGGAGAGUGGGGGCCGGAACACGUCGGACCCACAUGGCGUUGGUGGCUUCCGGCGCGUGCGGCCGCGGCCCAUGUCCGGCACAGUGCGUUCGCAUCGGAUCCGGACGCAACGCACCGUCAAAACUGAGACGACCGGGUCUCGGACUCUCGUUGGUGAGGGGAAGAGAAGAGUGAUUAAGUAGCGCUGGUGCUUUCACUUUUACUUGCUUGCACGGGAGCUGCAAGAAAAGAAGAAGACCUACGGACAAAGUACAGGCCAUGGCUAAUUUUAUGCAUGUUUGCAGUAGUACGAGCACCGUCGUACUAAUAAUAAUUCUUUAACGACUAAUCAUGGCAUCUAGGCAUGCAUGCAGGCAAGCACACGGCGGCCGCUGCAAAACUGCGUGGCAUGUUUUCGAACCAAUAGGAUCGUACGAGUUGCCUACCGACUACCAAGAAACUAGUACUAACAAACCCAUACACCUGCAAUUUUAAUCUUGUGGCCGACGCCUGCAAGAAUCGGCGCCAAAUGGUCAAAGUUCGUGCAGAGAACAAAAUGUUGCCCCUACACUGGCAGCACAAAAGCCUCUACGAAUAUUUAACUGCGCUUUGUUCCAGACACUUGUUUGGGAUGUUUCGCACUUUGGUACUAGCACCAGUAUCACUCCCAGACAGUGCAAAUCAGAGGCCAGUCAGCAGCAGCAACGACAAUAAUAAGUAUUCCUCCUGGUAAAACCUGGUACCACUGCUAUACUAAUUAAAACGUAAACAACCCCUGGUAAACCCCUGCGACCGAUAAUUAUAGUGCCUAUGCAUGCACAGCUGCCGGGUUUGGUUUGGUUCGCGCGAUGCUGAAGCAGCAGCUAGCAGCGUCAACACAUCGUCAAAGCAGCCCUGACCAUGCAGUACCGCAGUGCGAGUAGUAAAAUGCUACGAUUGCCCGGAUCUUACAGUCUCGGUAAGAGGGUGAAAAUAACGUGCUAAAUAGAAGGCUACAAAAUUAAUCCAGGAACAGUACGUGUGGUCCUUGCCUGACCGAUGGGCCCACAUGGCAGGAAGAGUAUUGGGUCAGGUCAAGGCCGGAUGUAUCAGGCUCACAAGACCGGUUGUACCCUCAGUGAUGGAAUGGUGCAGGCGUGCAUCACCAGAAGCGGUGAAAAAGUUUUCACUCUAUCGCUGGGCUGCAUUUAAGGUUCUUCAUUUUCUUUUUCACUCUUCUGAGGUAAUGUCUUGAUAUUUGAUAAGCUGAACACUCUAUCUAGCUAGUAUGACCACUUAAUUAAUAAGCCGGAUGCAUUAUUUCGGUACACUAGCACUAGCAUGUGCUUGAUGUACAAGCUGAAGCUUAAGUAAAACGGAAGCAUAUGGCAAGCAGAAGGAAUCCAUCCUGACGAGGCAGAAAGCCAUCCGUUUUGCUUUAGCUCCUGGCGCUUUUCAUGCACAAACACUUGAAAGACACCUUUCUUUCCUAUACUUACUUUCAUGCCUCUAUUAUUUAGUUAGCACUUCUCAACAAGAAAAAAGUGGUCACCAAAAGCUAGCGGUACUCUACGCAAAUGGUCACUUCCCAGCCGUAUAAGAGCCGAAUCAUUGCACUACCUCACUCACUUUAGUAUGCAGCUUGUGUGGCGCAAAAUUGGAACAAAGUUCAACACAAGCUCUAAGAUGGGGUGAUUUGUAUAUCCAUGCAUGGACAUAAAAUUUGUCAGGUCAUGGCAUGGAGACAGGAAGCUAGUAUGUAUUACACGUCAGCUUAAUUAGCCUGUGACGUGCUGACAUGCCUGGGAAUGGCGAUCAGGCGAUGGGCAUUGGGACCCAAGGUAGAGAACAGAAGAGGGGUCAUUGGCACAAUUCAAAGCCGUUCUUGGUCACAUGGUGUGCUCCUUUAGCGAGCAAAGCUGGCAGGCUUUGUCCAGUUGCGCUAGCUGAAGCCGCUAAACAGUAAACAUACAGUGCAACCCUUUCUCAGUCUUGCUAUCACCAUUAAAUUUAUGGUCAGGAUCUCAAACUCCCUGCAGCACACCCAAUUAAUUAGGGCAGAGUGCAUGGAUGGAUGGAUGCAUAUAUGCUUGGCCGUAAGGACUCUAUAAUUAAACUAGUGGUACAGGAAUAUAAUCUGGCAAAGAAAGAUGGCCAUAUGCACUUUGGGCUCUUGAUGGUGUGCUAACCAGCUAAAGUUUGCCUGUACUGACAGAGAUGUGUCGUCCCAUGCAGAUCACUGUCGACUCGCAAGCCUUGUAGAGUCGGCCUCGUUGAAUUAACUCUGAUCAUUCUCAAUUCAUCAUUCUCGCCACCGGCCAACCUUGAAAAAUCAGACCACCUGUAUCAACAACAUGCAUUGGUGCACGGUCUACUGUAAACCCUACAGCUACGGUUUAGAUAAGUAUGCAUCUUCCCCUGAGCGUGAGAGCGUCCACAUCCAGGGGAUUGCAUGGCCUAGCCAAGGAGCCACUAGAGAAACCACCAUACAAGCGGCCCGUGAGCUAUAUAUACAGGCUCAUUUAUCUGACAGAUUUCUUGUGUGUGCGUUUGAGAUGCCAAAUGAGAUCGAUGUCUCACCAAAAUGAGACUAGACCUUGCCUUAGCAUGUACAGUACAAGACACAUGAAUAAUUUGGUGGUACGUGUUGGGCAAAUGGACAUGGGUACGUGAUGGGUCCGGUCAAUCACAAAGUGUCGCAUGCAUAUGUAUGUUCACCAGAAAAUUUUACCUGGAUUUUGUCCUCCCCUGUGCCUCCUAUGAGUACAACGUUUACUGAAGAAUAUAUACCAGGCUAUUAGCUAUAUGCUCUACUUUCUACUCGAACACGGUGAGAUUCUAGACCUUAGCUAGGCCCUCUUCUCAUCUCAGUAUUCUCCAGGCUUAGAAUACAGGGCUCAAAGAGAUGUACUACUUAACCACAUUUAGGAUGAAUCAUAAAUUGUAAAAGAUCAAAGGACAGAAAGACAGAGGCUACAUUUGACAGAUACUCCUAUAUCGCUUGCCCGUGAAGCGAUUACGAAUUGCCUAGGAGGCUACGAGCCCAGCCCUUUUACAAGUGCUCCUCCUCCUCUUACGUUCCAGAUGAGAGAUUAAUGGCUAUUGCCGCAAGAUAUAUAGGAAGUGCCCAAGGCCUAGCACACACGCGCAAUAAUGGAGGACCCAUGGCUAAAAAGCUGGAUCAGUGUUAGUACCAUGGUACUAGAUAGCUGCUUUUUUAUGGUAACCGGAGGCCCAUGGGACCCUUAUGUGCUCACGGUCCAUGAGGCCAGUCCUCGCAUGUGCCGAGGUCACAAUUCCACAUACUCAAUGAGGGACUCUUCAUCUAAUCCAUUUGAUCAAUGAUAGUAAUAUCGAAAGCUACAGUUUAACUGUAGCGAAUUGUUUGUUUGGCCAGAUUGACCUGUCGUCGAUUUAAAAUCUAGAUGUGGUUAUGGAUAUAAUGCAUAGAUGGAAAGGCAAUCUUCAGCUACCUUCCUGUUGGAUACUCUUUUUAAGAUAAUGGUAGAUGUACACGCAUUGACGUGAAAACGUACCAACAGAUACAGAAGAAUUUUAUAGACCUACGGUCAUACACCCUGUAUAGAGAUGUGGAAAAUAUGUGCUGGAGUACAUUCAGUCUGGCGUACCUUAAUGAAUCUGAAAGAAGUCUGGAGUAUAUUCAGUCUCUCGACUUUUCAAGGCUGGAAGCCAAGAGAAAGCUGGGACUUCCAAUGACAAUAGAGCUGACAAGAGGAAAGGAGACAGUAAAAUUUAGGUGUCCAUGGUAACCAGAGCAGAAGCACAGAAAACACAUGCAAUGGCUCAGCAUAAAAUCCCCAUACCCCCUAUCCCGUACUUAUCCUCUGACCAGGGAUAUUAAAAAAUUUAUUAACAACGAAACAGAUCAUUAACGCAUAUACAUAAUUGGACGACCACAUAUGAUGCCAAAAGACAGAAAGCAUAAUCAUUACAUAAUUAGUGCUUCUGACCAAAACCCACUGCUCUGAUUACCUGAAAGAAGCAUGACAAAAGUGCUAUGCUCUCAGAUAUUCUCCUCGCCUUCACAUCCUGAAGAAAAAAAGGUUCCAGAGUUGUACAAGCAUAUCGCCGGUUUCUUACCAACACAGAUAGAGACGGGAUUACAAAAAGCAUCCCACGGAGAUUGAUUUUGCUCAGGACUCAGGAGUCGACAUGGCAGAGUGCAAAGCUGUAAUCCAUCCUAUACACCGUGGUAGACUUUACAAUUUCCUUGUACUAUGCAGGGGCAUCCUAUACACCGUUGUACUUACAAAGAAGAAUGAAGUGCCGUCCCUUAUGAACUAGCAUAGUAUGACCUUAUUAUUUCCACAAAUGAAGGCAAACAUCUUCAAUUCACUUUCAAGUACACAGGUGACAUUUCAUCAACACCACUCCGUGACGAGUUCCAUUUAUAUCAUAUAUGUAACAUUAUAUACUUACAAUAUGAAUCAAAUUUUCAUCUCCCAGAUAUCCGUUUUCCAGAGCUCCCAACCCACUAACUUAUUUACAAUGAAGAUCUCGGCAAUGUUAGGUCCUGAAGACUAAGAGAUAGAAGGGCAAAUGGUUUUGACAUUUUGUGUGAGGUAUCACAACCUCACAGGCAAGUGUUCAAUCUCUGAAAUUGAAGACCCAAGCUCUCUCUCUUUCAGAGCCUUAUUCCUAAGCAACCUGAAACAGACACAAGUUAGAGAUGGAUGGAGUAACCUAGAAGUAAGAUUCUCCAAUCAUAAGUUCUUAUCCUAAGAAAUGCAAUGCACUUUUUACUAUCAAGCAUACAUGCCCCAUCGCCAUGGUAAAGAAGGAAAAGAAUCAGAAAGUCAGCAGAAGAGGAUCUAUUCUACUGACAGAAAUUUUAACUCUGCUAAUAACUUUUCAUAUUUUUCUGUCACAAAGUGUUGUUUUCGUAGAUUAAUUUCACUAAAAAGGAUGGUAGCCUAUUCAGUCAGUGUACACAUUAACUUUAAAGAUGACCAUAGCAAAAGAAAUUAUAAAGAUGAACAAGUACUCCCAUAAAAUAUCCUCUUGACACGUAAGUAACUUAUACAGUCAACAAAUCUAGGGUCAACACAUAGAAGUCUUUAUGUGUCACCACUAUCUAUUUUUUAGAAGUUAGAAAACCACUCACGUUAUUACAGUUAGAUGAUAUCAUCUGGUUAAUAUGGUAAACCCAUCGGAAACAUGCUUCUUCUCUAAGACUAAGGCCUUGUUUUUGGGAAUUAGAGCACAAAAGGUCGUUGAGGGAAAUGAAUCUAAAGUUUCAGCACACUGACCACGCAAGACACAACAUAUCAUCAUCAAUGAAGGUUGAAGCGACAAUCAGUUAUCAAUAUGUGCACAAUAGUUUGAGAACUAUUGUCCUUCUCAUCAUCAUGUUCCUCAGUGUUGUCAAAAGUUCAUUCCUCCAUCUAUCAUGGUCAGUAAUUUGCUCUGUCAGAACAUAGACAUCAAAAACCCAACCAGCAUGCUAAAUAUCAUUAUAAAACUGGUCUUCAACGCCCCUGGUGUUAAUUUUCUGUUUAUAUCAGGAAUUCACGACAUCAAAAGGAUCUAAACAUAAGAGCAUGAUAUGGACUGCCAUCCAAGGAUGCAACAAUAGCUCUAAUGAGAACAUAGCAAGUAUAGUAUGAACAGUGCAUAGUAUGUGUUGUAUGCCUGAGUUCUCUCUAUAUUUAACAAUUUUAUCGGCAAGCUUAAGAUUUUGGAAAAGUCAACAUGCCACGUUACAAUUAAGAGUAACUUCAGAGUCACCUUGUCCCCUCAAACUACAAGGUUUGCCAGAAACCUACUCUCAAAUACAACCCCAAACGGGCAACUAAACCACUAGGUCCUUUAAUGAUGUCCAUGGAAUCUUUUUUAUCAUACAAAUUAACUAGAAGAGGUGUGCAACUCAGUUACACCCACACUUAACUCUAAAUAUAGUGAAGAUCUAUAUAGAGAGAACAUCGAAUGUGCACAAUAAUGACAACAUUAGCACAAGCCUUAAGAUCAUCUUCCCAUAUCUUUUUAAAGUGGCCACCAGGAAAAUAGAACUGUUGAGAAGGAGCUCCACCAGAACAAUUGGAUUCGUGCACACCAGUGUCACUCUGGGAAAUGGUGCAAUGACUUUGUUUUGGCACGAUAGCCAGCACUGUAGCACAGGCCUUAAGACAGUCUUCCCAAAUCUUUUCAAAGCGGACACCAGGAAAAAUAGAACUGUUCAGAAGGAGCUCACACGUUGGUAUCUCCACAGGAUAAAUUGAAUUAGCCACCCUCACAGAGAUCAUCAACGGUAAUUCAGCCGCAGCCUCAAUCUCCUGAUGACAUCUUCUCAAGGUGGACAGAAAAUGGGAGUACAAGGCGUGUUUGCUUGCCUACCAGGCACAGUUUACCGGCUCCAAGAUUUGGAGGGUUCAUGCAGAGACAAAAUGUCGGUUCUUUCCUUGGUCCAUGCUCCACAAACCUUACGGCAGAUAACCUUGCAGCAAGAGGACGGGGUAUGGCCUCCAUGUGCUUUGCAAUUAGGUGCCAGAGAGUGCUGAGUGUUGACUACCAAUGCAGAAAUUGCCAUUAUACAAAGAUUUGGGAGAUGGUUCGGCUCUGGAAUGGCAAUUUUCCAUCCAGAAUUCACGCUGCUUCAUCGGUUGAUGAAUGGUGAAACGCUGAUAGGUGACAAUUAGUAGUGACAGGAAGCCUUGCUGAACGGCAGAGCUCCUCCCAUUUUCCUCACAGGUCAAGUAAGCGUGAAUGUAACAUAUGAUGCUCUAUAUGAUCCAGACAUAUUAACGGUUAGCAUAACCUAAAUCAUAGCGGCUUAUAAUCUAUACUGCCGAUUGCCAACUGUGCUUGAACAGUGAUUCCUAUAACCUUAGGACAAUCAUUUUGAUGUGGUUCAAUUCAAGUGGACGGCCUUAUGAAAACCCAUCAGGUUUGGGUAUUCAGACAGCUGAACCUGAAUUUGUGCCAGCUGUAGGAGAGCUAGUGCUACGGAUUAACCAGAGUUCAGACGUGCACAAACCCAUUCCACGCAGUAGGAUCACAAAGCUAAAUUACUAUACUAGUACUAUGUGAUUUAAGCAGUCGGAGACGAAACGGAAAUGGCUGAGUGAGCAAGCGGCAUACCUCAAUCGUCGUGAGGAUUGAUAUGAUCCCCAUCCUCGAUGUCAACAUAGUCGUCGUUGUCGUCGUCAUCCUCAUCUGAAGACGAUGAUGAUGAGGAAGAGGAGGAGAAGGAGGAACGGGAGUGCCGAGCUAGCAUGAGGUCCGGGGGCGGGAGCAGGAGGAGGCGCUGGCGGCGGCGAGGGUUGGCGAAGCGGAGAGGGGAGGCGUGGGCGGGGAUGAAGGGGACGCAGAGGAAGGCGGCGAGGCGGGCGAGGAGGUGGAGCGGCCCGCAGCAGAGGAGCGCGAGGACGCGGUCGGGCGGGAGCGUCUCCGGGUUGCACGCCACACGCUGCCACCCCUCCGCCGACGCCCGCGCCACCGCCACCACCCACCCCGCCCGCACCGUCAUUCCUCAGCCGCUUUUUAACCGGCGCCGAUGACGAAUCCCCCACACCCACCCACUCCAAUCCCCAACGCGCCGGAAUGGCGUGCGGCGCACGGUGGGGAGGAGGUAGCGAUUCGAGGCGCGCACGGCACGACCGCCCGCGCGCGUGCGUGGGGGGUUCUCUGCCUCGCUCCGCCCUGCCGCCGUGUGGAUCUCGCCGGCCGGCUCGGAUUUGCCGCUGCUUCUGCCGCCGGGGCAGCGUUUUGGGUUGUUCAAUCGAUUACGGUUGCUGGCGGGGCUGGGGAAUCUGUUGGGCUUUUAUAGCUAAGCUUUAUCUACUCAGAUGCGUACGUGGACUGUAGUGGCUGACUCGACGUGGAGCCCACUCGUCAGUGAUAAAUUUGCUGUUGCGCCUAAAGUUUCUCAGCGAGACACCUUUGAGAUAUUUGAAAAAAACAAGUCAUACAGCAUAGUUUGCAGCAGAAAAAGUAGCGCAGACGAGUCGGACCAACGCUUGAACACAACGCAACUACCUAGCAGUAGCAUGUAAACAUGUAUAAUGAUGGAUAACAUGGCAGAAACAAGGAAUACAGCUGGUUGCCUGGUUAAAGCACAAGUGUUUUGGGCCUCAUAACAAUGUCAGGAUCAUGGAAUAGAAAGGUUGCUACCGAAAGGUAAAGAAAAUAGCAUGGAAAAGCCAGAACGCCUACAGGUGAGGGCCAAUCCUGAAUAUUGAACAUUGAAAAACAGAGCUUUCGGUAUGGAACAGGAACUGUAUCAUCCACAGCAUUUUAUUUCAUGCAUUGUGAUGUGACGAUUAAUGUAAAAAAAAUAGCGACCUCUGUCGAGCACAAAAAAAAAAGGCUUCAUGGAAGAGUUCUCUCGUAAAGGGGGAGGGCUCCCAGUGCUUCACGCUCCGCUGCCUCCUUUUUCACCUGCAACAGAAGUCAAAUUAAACAUGAUGAAAAUAUCAAAAGUAGCAUCACAGCAUAAAAUCAGACAACCAAUUUGAGGCAGGAAUUUGUUCGGUAGUGGCAUCAGACUUGGAAGGAAAUACUUCUAUUUAUUAGUGAUUACUAAGGCAUAUACAAUUACCGAGGGAGUAAGAAGAAUACUAGACUAGACAGUCACAUCUUACAUAGUCUAAGAAUUUGCACAGUGGCUCAUCUUGUACUAAUUUCAUGAAACAGUAGCAAUAAUAGUAAUGAACUAAUGACCGCUGCUCAACCGGCAAAUAACCAAGAACGGCAAGUGGCGAGAUCAAUGACAAUGUUCAUGCUGUCAUGAAUCCUUAAGAUCAUGGUCAAAGUAAAGGAUGUACAUCUACACAGGACAACUUUCGGGUAGCAUAGCUUCAAGAGAAACUUGAUCAAACUGUUUUACAUGAACUUAUAGGGUGUUUGCUUUGAGCAAUCACCUCAUUAUAUCAUUAGUGGAAUGACCCCAUGUCCCCACCCUUUAGUUUGUACUCCCUCCGUCCCAUAUUAAGUGCCGAAAUAUUACAUGCAUCUAGACGUAUUUUAGUAUAUAGAUACAUCCAAAUUUAGAAAAAAUUGAGUCACUUCAUCAAAAGAAACACCCCACUUGAGGCAGAACCUCUAUAUUGUAUGUUUGUCCUGUACAUAUGAUAUCAUAACCAAGAUAGAAGUGCAUUGGGAUUUCAAAUUAGCAUAAUGUAGAAAUGUAAAGUGUGACUGUUUAUGCAAAUAACAAGUGAAAUGACAAAAGGGCGAGCAUCAGCAGAUGGUCAGGUACACUUACCAGAGCUAGCAUGUCAGUCAAAUAGCUUCUGAAUGGUGUCUGCAGUGCCUGUACAAAGAAAGUAAAUGUUUCAGAAGCCUGUGCUUAUCAGAGAAAGAGGUUUCAACGAAUAUUAGUUUGUAAAACAUGUUUCUUAUACAUUGACAUUUCAUAGGUUUAAUGUAUUAAUGGCUUCAGAAAAAAAGGAACUCUGGAACAUCUACAGGACCGACAGAGAAAGAAGGCCAAGCAUUCAUCUAAUCUAAAAUAAGAGCAAAGCUAUCCAGGAAAGCAAGGAUAAAAAUGCAGUACAUCGCAAAAAUGCAGCACAUGGACAUCCAGAAAAAAGAACUCCUAACAGGCUAACACAGAUGCAAACCACAAGUGGAAAAUGACAAGAAACGACAAAUAGGAUCGUCAACAAGAAUGCCUGCAACAAUCUGACCCACCAGCAUGAGGGAAUAUCCUGUAAGAAGCCUACACAGGGAUAUUUCAAAAGGCUUAUCAAACCUAGUCAACCAUAUUUUCGUUAGACAUCUUAGAAGUUCUACCAAUCCUAACAAUCACUAUUCUCAUUCAAAUGUGAAUUGCCAAUUUGCCGGAAACCACUUCUCUCAUCCAACGUUGUUCAAAUCUCCAGCAUAGGUAGAUGGGUUUCUUAGGCAGCCAACAACAUUAAAAUGUACUCCCUCUGUCCCGUAAUUCUUGUCGAAAUAUUACAUGUAUCUAGACAUUUUUUAGGAAUAGAUACAUCCAUAUUUGAGCAAAUUUGAGACAAGAAUUAUGGGACGAGGGAGUAAUAUAUAUACGCUGAAAGGGUGCUCGCCCUUUUUGUUCCACAUUCAUUUCACUCGACUAGCAAUCAUCAACGAUAUAACAGAGACACGGUGCAUCUACUGCAGGGGCUCUCAAAAACACAACCUACACGGAUAGAACUGUAGAACUACGAUAAAAAUAGAAAUAGAAGGGUAGAACUCGUCAUACAAAUCCAUACACCAUCAGCACGAGAACCGCGACCCCCCAUUACACAGAUCGCACGCGCACGGAUCGAGAGAUGCAUCACAGAUCAGGGCAGGACCGGACCUGGAGGUCGUCGGGGAGGUACUGGUGCUUCAUGGAGAGGUCCAUGGCGCGCUUGAGGCGCUGGUGGCGGGCGUCGACAACCUCCCUGGGCAGCCUCCCGAGCGCCUCCUUGAUGUCCAGCUCAAAGUACGGGUCGUACAGAUCGUCGUACCGCAGCCCUUGAAAAUCAUCAUCAUCACACAAACCACAGGCAUAUCAUCUGUCAUUCCGCACAAAUACCGGCCCAGAUCGGCAAUAACACGAACGGAAAAUCGGAUCCGAGGGGAGGGGAGGGUUGGGGUCACCUACCGAAUUUCGUGAGGCGGGAGGCGACGGUGUACUUGUGGAGGCGCGCGAGCGGGUUGCGGCGCGGGUUCACGAACCACUGCGAGAACGCGGACAGCAUCGACGACAUCGUGGGCGGCGGCGGCGGCGUCGAUGGGCGAUCCCGGUCGUCUUCUUCUCUUUGCCUUUUGAUUCGUGUUUGUGUGCGAGAAGAAGAGGGGGCGGAGGUUGUUGUUUCCGUCUUGGGCCGGCGAUGGAGAGGGGCGCUUCAGAAAUAGAAAUGGGCUGAGAAGAAAGAGUAGGGCCUGCCAGUUCCUUUUCUUUUAAAAAAAACGUUUGUUCUUUUCAAGAGAAAUCAUUUACAAUUCUAAAGUUCCCUGAAAAAAUUACGACUAUAAAUUCACUAAAAAAAUAAUUUACAAUUCUAAGGCACUUAAUAUAGGACGGAGGGAGUAUUAAAUUUGAAAUAGAUUAAAAGGAUUAUUACGAUUAUCUUGACUUCUAAAUAGAGCAAAAUUACAACGGGCCAUGGAGGUUCUCAAACUUGUUUUUGCUGUGUUCUUUAGGUUUUAAAAAUCUUUGUUCUUGUACCUUCUCAGAUACUGUAGGAAAUCUCAGUCCAUUAGCUAGCUUUAGAUAGUAUAUUAAUUUAGAAAAAAAGGGCAAGAACCACUGCACCGUUUAAUCAAUUAUUGUCAUCGAUCUCUCUUUUGUACAAAUUCUUAAACACCAUUAUAUGUACUCCAAGAUGGAUACUGGAAAAAGAUUUGCAGGCACACAUAAUACAAAUACAAACACUUAAAUCGGCCUGUUAUAAAAAUGGGGCAAGAAAGGGAGAAAAAAAAACACAAUAUCAAACUCCAUCCUAUUAGGUAAGGCAUCAAGAGCUUCUAUAUACAGAUACAUCAGCUCAACCUCACUCACAUCAACCAAAGGCGACAGUUCAGCCUCACUCACAAAGUCACAAGAUUCACACACACAAGGAAAGCAUCUACGCAUCUGCCUCUCUUUUUGUCUCGUCCUUUUCUUGACGCCAUUGCCAUGGAAAACCAUGUGGUUCUAUACAUAAGAUAAUUGCCGACUCGAACGCGAAAAUCACACACCGUCAUGGCUGCCAUCCAAUCCUUGCAAGAAGCCUAGAGCUUCAGCUUCACCAUGGCCGGGUGAUGGUGCGAGUCGACCAGGAUGGACCACAGGACAUGUACAUCUUCGUCCUGGCAAGACUUGACAUCUUUGUACAGGAUGCGCAUCCCCCUCCCUGCCAAGGAGAACACCAAGCACAACAAUGUCAGCAGUGCCUAACAAUGCUACAAGAAAGAGAAACAAAGCCCAUUCCUUUUCUGUAUACAAUGCUACAAAAAAGUAAUGGUCUGCACAACAACACCAAGAAUAAGAGUAAAUGAGUAAUCGAUAGAUCUUACGGUUUCUCCGUGCAGAAUGUGCCCGGACCAAGAGCUUCCUCACAGGAGAGAAGAGGGAGUGGAGCCACCCCAUGAGGAAGCCUUGAUGAGAGCCUGAGGUUAUGGCCUCAUGGGGAGGGGUGAAAUGAGGGAACAGAGGCUGCAAGGCAUGAAGAAGGAGGAGAAAAUAAAAAGGGUGGGUUAGAGAGGAAGUAACCAUCACGUUUUGCUUUUUGGCACGAGGUGAAGUUUAGUGCACUGUACCCUUCUCCUCCUGACACAUUAUGCUUCCUUGCAACCCAAUCAUGGUACUUUUCAGCGAUUCGUUCUGGUAUCUCGUCCCUUUCCACUUCUUACUCUUCCUACCGCCUGCCUUCGCUGUUAGAAAAGGCCAUGUCUAGCCCCACACCUAACCAUAGAGAAUAAUAAUAUGCUGCCAAUUUUAAAAUCCUAACCCCAGAUUUGAGGAGCCUUUCGUUGAUUUUGUUUUACUUGAAGUUGCUGUUGUACCUGUGCUUUAUAACAUACUGCCUGGUUGCUCCUCUUUUUCAAGGAAAUCAAAACAGCUUGAUUACAACCUUCCUGAUUGGAUGUAUCAUGUACAUACAUAAUUAGUAUUUCAACAAAAUAUUACAGUUUGCUAGAAAUAUAAGAAGCUGGUUACUUGAAUUAAUAAAAUGGGACAGCAGAGGGACUACAGAGGUUUGCUUGGAUAUUAAAUGUUCUUGGCUUACAUGAAAAAUAUUUGCUGCUUUUGGAAGGUGCAGGACUAUGAACAAUCAAACAUUAUUUUGUCUACUUUUAGCAGUAUCAGACCUACCAUCUAGGAUUUUACAGCUUAAUUUACAAAAAUACCACAAUAUGCAAGUAACUUGCAAAUCACUUUUGUAUUAAUAAGUAAUCCUGUAUUAAACUUGUCAUUGAGUUUUUGAAUAAAUUAUCAUACUAUGACUAAUAGGCAUACCUUUUCGCUACUGUGUCAUGUGUUGCUGGUAUGCUGCCCUUGUCAAUAUACAUAGACAAAACUUGACCAAGACUUGAUAUCUUUAAGAUUCAAAAUAUUAAAUGGGACAUUUUACAGAUCGCUGCUUAGCAGAGUGGGGAGUAACAUGUGAUAAAAUGGAAGAGUAAAUAGCUUUACCUUUACAGAAGCUUGUGCAGGAAUAGCAAGGUCCUUUGUUCUCAGUGCGGCACUGUGGGUUCAUCCAUCCAUUGCCAUGUCAUAGGAUUUUAUUUUUAAGGCUAUACUCUCAAUAAUUGAGACUUCACAUCAAUUUAUCUAGUAAGUACAAUGGAGUAAACCUGUUGAUGCUGUGUUAUUCUUACGAGCUCAAUCCAACAUUCAUCCCGACUUACCAGACCAAGCUUAACAAGACGAUAUUGUGAUCUGAACAUGGACAUCAUAAUGGUAACAGCAUCCAACUACACAAGACUUGCUCAUUUCACUGCAGCAAUAUGGCACCAAAAUUCAAACCCACGCUGUUAGUCUCAAGGAAUCCUGUUGUCAGAUCCCAACAUUUGCCAUAUAGCUUGUUUUCAUACACUAGUUACAACUCAUUGGUAUUUAAUAAGUGUGCUGCACAUGACAUGCAUAGCCUGGCCUGAUUGACCUGAUUAGAGCUGCAAGUUUGUGACCCUCAGGGUACCCUUUGACCCUGCUUAGUUCAACCAAAUGAACUAAAGUUUGAAAAUGACACAACUUUUUGAAAAACUAGGGUCAAAGGGUACCCUGAGGGUCACCAUGUUGCACCCUUAGACCUGAUGAUCAACAACUACAACUAAAGCUAGUGCACAGUGCAAAACCCUGGUAAUCCUGGUCCAGCCCAUUUUGCACUCAACCAAAACGUUGUUGCAACUUUGAUUAGUACGAUUUGAUGUAUGACUUCAGCAAAUCCAAUACUGUCGAGAAUAUCAAAUGGAUAUUAUCUUCAGUUGAGACAGCAAAUAGCAUGUGUAAAAUUCAACCAGUAUGGUCGUAAAGUGUUAAGUUUCUUUUCUAAAUGCACACAGUAUGGUUGCGAAGUGAUCAGUAUUGUUUUCUCUAGGCGAAACAACUAUCAGCUACUCCGUACUUCAUUGCACCAAAAAUCACAUAAUCACUUUUCCCAUGUCAGUAUCAGGACACACUAAAAUUUCUUUGGUACUUCAAUCCUCCCUUCAUACAGCCAUGCCUCACUGACUAAGAAAAGUAGGAAUAGUUUCUAGCUAAAAACUAGCACUGCAAUCAGGUAGUCCUCCUGAUAGAAAAAUAAUCCCCUAAGGUAUCAAUCAAUAAACAUUCAGAAAAUAACAACCAUUGGUUCAGAGGUUCUUCUCAAAUGUCACUAUCCAGGGAAGCCAUAUACUUUGUCUGCAUUCACCACAAAUGCAAGCUUUUAUAAAGCUUGAAAUAUAUCUGCAAUUAACCAAGUUGUAGCUACAAUAAAUUCUGGAUGAAUGGACAGGUAACUAACACACAACAGACAACACCCUGUGUCUAAAAGAAACAAAUGGUCUGCGAGCUAAUAUGAGACCAAAACUGUCUGCAUUGAAUGGUUUCAGUGCUGGUUAGAUAAAUUUCAUUGUGAAGGCUCUGUUUGAAUUUAGAAGACUAAAUUGAUGAAUUUAAGAUUGUUUCCAAGAGAUAAAUCAAGCUAGCCAUAAUUCAUGUUAAGCGACACCAACAAGCUCUACUCAUAUCUGUCUAGGUCGAGCUGCACACAGAGUAGAGAUCAAUUCAGGAAACCCAAAGAUCAACUUCAAGCUCCACUAGGUCACAGGUAAAGAAUUUUCUGGACCUAGAGCUAUUUCAGGACUAUCCUUUGUAGUAUUCAUAAUAAUAAUUUAUGAACUGCACUUUUGUAUAUGGCAGUUUCUUUAAUGGAAAUCGGUGGGUAGGCCUACUGUUUAAAAAACUACUACAGCAUAACUAACCAUGUCUUGCUUGCUUUAGUAGGACUUGGUCCAUUUCAGACUCCCAUGACUACAGUUUCAAAAAGAAAAUAUCAUGAACCACACAAUCUUCUGUUGGAAGGGAAGCAUCAAGUGAAUUAAAUGCAUUCAAUAAAAUCACAAAAUACUACAAGAAGCAAAUUAUGAAAUAAAGUGGUGUCCUUAUCUGAGAAGAAAAAAUUGAGCUGUGAGAUUUAAAUGUUUUGUUGAUAACUCAGGAUAAUGCAUUGUUUAAUAUGUCAAACAUCAGAGCUGAAGUGGUCCAGCAAACAAAGCUUAAUUUCAGUGGCUAUCAUUGCCGAUGGUCAAUGCAAUCUCCUUAUAUAAAAAAAACAGAGUUAAGCCUGCCUUACUGGUUAGCCACAUGGUACAUAUCAUCACUACAACAAGAAAAACACUGCAAGAAUGCACACAAAGAAAAGAGGAAAAUUACAAGAUGACCACUUUAAGGGAUUUAUAAAAUGGUAUUCCCUCCGAUCCAUAAAAAGUGUCGCCCACUUAGUACAAAAUUUUUACUGACUUAGUACAAAAUGGGCGACACUUUUUAUGGAUCGGAGGGAGUAUCAACCAAUGUGAAUUUUACGUAUCUUCGUUAAGUUGUAGCAUCUGACUUCAGGGUUCUCACUAUGCUUGUCGGUCUCCUGCAGAAAAUGGGCAUAUUCAGAUGCCUACAUAUAAGCACAAAAAGGACUGUCAUCAGUGUACAGACUUGAUGCUCAAGCAUUCCAUUUGUCUUGAUUCCUCGAAAGAUCCACUUUUGCACAUGGAUAGAAGUUAUAUUGUGAUAUUACUUUACAAGUUUGUUGUGGUAACAUUUGUUACUGGUCAUAAGGGAACAAAAGGGGAGAACAGCAUGUAGAAGUUAGAAGAAAAGAAUCAUUAUAUAAUACCAUUAAUAUUAAAAAAUACUCUGUAUCCGGACUUCCAGUAUAUACCUUACAUCAUGACAACAUUCUUUCUUAGAGCAUUGCCAUAGUUAAACUAGUUAGAGCAUUAGAACCGGUCUCACUUAAGGCACGAGGUAGGGAAAGAAGUGACAGAAACACACAGCAAUAUCACAGAAUCUUGCCAGAUAGUUCAAACACAACGUUUAAAAAGGAUGGCAAAACCAAAAAGGAAAAGAAAAUGAAAAAACAUAUAUUGGAGUCUUCAUAGCACUCCUAAGAACAGACACUCAGUGAAACAUCUUGUUAGCACUAGAAAGGAGGCAAGUGCAGAAACAAAUUAUGAUCCUGCAAGCACCUACUCAACCUUCCAUGCAUAUAGGAUCAGCGAGAAACCAAGACCUUGUAGCUGAGACUCCCUAAAAAUCUGUGAGUAUGACCACGGCAUCGACUUCUCAGGUGCUUGGGAUGUCUGAAACAUGAACACUGCAUUGCUUGUCGACGAUCCAAAGAGCCAACUGUGGACAUCCCAGAACACCUCCACAGGCAAUCCAUCGACGAGAAUUGUCUGAUUUCCCCUAAACUUCCAUGCCAGCCUCUUCACCUGCAUGACCGGUUUCUUAUCGAUACGUAUCUCAAGACAUGGAUCCUUGAGGCUGACAGCAUCGCACUCUAUCACAACAUCAUGAAACUGGCCAUUGUCGCAGAACUGCGCCUUCGCUGAGUAAAUCUUCUUACCAUAUAUGUGCUCUCUCCUUGCUACGAAAGCGGCGUUCGACAUGGGUCGAUUCAUGCCGGUCUUCCGGUAGGCGUCCUUUUUCAUGUCACCGAGCAAGAGCACCAGCUCAAGGUCGAACACCACAGCGACAUAGAACCCCUCCAGUGGUUCUGGCCCUGUGCUGAACUUGGCGCCCGAGAGGUCCCAGAAGAUCUCAAUCUUGCCGCUGUCGACGUCGAGGCUCUUGGACCCCUUCUUCUUGGAAAAGAGCCAUGGCUUAAUUUCUGCCUUGCACAGGGACUGGCCGGACAAGCCGUCCACGCCGAUGCUGAGGCCCUGCCCCAUGAGGCUCUUGCUCCAUGUGACCGAGAUCACGCAGGGCCUGCCCGAGAACUGCGCCUGGUAGAGGCAGGUCACCAGGUUCUGUGCCGCGCCCUUGCCGGCGCUCGACGAGGACGACGCCGCGUCCGCGAUCUGGACGCCGCUCUCCCCGAAGCACGAUGGGAAGUCCCUCAUGCUCCGAACUUUUCAGCGAACACCUUGCGUGCAACCCAGCUCAGAGCACAGCGCGAUGCCCCCACUCCUCCACUUGAGCUCCCCCGCAAUGCCGGCCAAGGGAAGCGGCGGCGCAGAGCUCUCUCCUGCCAGCAGAUAUACAGACUGCCGCAGAAGAUAAUUUUUUUUUGCUCGAUCCAGCAACGCCGCCGCAAGUGACCGCGAGAUCCCCAACCUUUACUGCCGAAAGCAGCAGCAAGAACCGCCCAAAAAGCAAAGGGCCCGAGGCAGAGCGAUCGAUCCGGCAGCAAGCUUCCCUCACGAAGCCGCCGUCUUCCAGUGCAAUCAAAGCGAGGCCACACGCUCCCGGCCAGCCUUGCCCCGAAACCGCGGCAGGGAAGCAACCGUCUUUCACACAGAUUUCUCCAGAAUCGGCCCCAAAUUGCCACAGAAGCAACCGCACGAAGAACAGCAAAGCAACAUGAAAAUUUCUUCCCCGGGUAAGGAUUCAAGCCAAGAGAGCCUGCAGGCAGCCACGAGAAGACGGAGAGAUAUGUGGAGACAUGGGAGAGGAGGCCAGGGAGUACCAGCAACCAGUGCGCUAGGAACCGCAGGAGGCAACGAGGAGGAGCAAGCAAAGCAAGAAGCAGCAAGGAAGUGAAGAGUAGCAGCCAGGAGGAGUAGGAGAGUAGUAGUGACUCACUGGGGGAAAGGAGACAAAAGGUUUGGGGGGAUCAAAUCAAUGGAGCCCUACUACAAGAUGCCACACAACAACACACUCACUGUCAGCCAACUCAUGGUGGUGGAGGAGAAGAGGAGCAGGUGCUGCCUGCUCUCCUUUCUCUUUUGUAACUGCUGCCAUGCCAUUUGCCCAUGGUUUGUAGCCUAGCCUGUUUACAAUCUUGCAAGCUUCCUGGGAAUCUAGGAACUCCCUUUAGAAAAAGAAAAGCAGAGCUUCUUGAAGAUUGAGAUCUUACUACCAAGACAACAGCAGGAAAAAUUCAGUUCGUGGCUGGGUGUGAAAUUAUCAGUCCAACUGUAUGAAUAGGAUAAGCCGUUUUUUAAUAUCAUUGGAUCAAUAAGCUAGGAGGAGGAGGUGAAGAAAUCCAAUGUUGGAGACAAUUGUCAGUGUGUCACAAUGUUGGAAAGAAUUUGGUCCUCUGGGUGGUACUUCCUCUCUCUUCAUCAGUCUUCAUUGAGUCUAUGCUGCCUUUUGCCAUGAGAAUGUCAGCAGCUUUAAAAAAAUAUUUUUCCAUGCAGGGGAGGACAAGUUCACAUGCAUCACAGUGAAAAAAUGACCGGAGGGUGUACCCUGCUACAGAUACUCCAGUGUUUACUCUGGGUACCCCAUCUCUUGCUGUUUUUCCCUGGCAUGGUUUUAGUUAUAGAAAUGUGCUUACAAGAUUAUACAUGUCCACUUGAUUGUUAUUAUUGCAGAGUGGGUGUAAGAUGGGUCUAAUCCUGUGUAGGUGAUGAUGCCCCCCCAAAUAUUUUUAACAAAAAAAAGGCAAAGGCAAAUUGAGCAUUGUAUUGCCAUGUUUACCCUUCUCUAUGUGUAUACUUAUUUAUAUGGUGACACAUGCUUUCUCAAUUAUUGCCUCCAUAUGAACUGUUGAUACAUACACCAUCCAUUUCUUAUGCACUCCAUGAUUGAGAGUGCACAAAUUAAGUACAGAAUUCUAUUCCAUAGAUUAUUUUCUCUCCAAGUUGACUUUAGAUCAAGUGAAGACCUAGUGCUAGCACCGGUACUAGAAAUAUUUUUUGUCACAUGUAAGUACAUGCCAAUAAGUAAAGAAUGCACAUGGAGAAACAAAUGAAAAGGAUGGUUUUCAUGCAGUCUUAAAUUGCACCAAGGCUCGGGCGCUCCGUCAAGCUGUUAGAUGCAACUGGACACUUCCUCCCGACUGUGAACUUCAACGGUCUGGACCAGAUUGGGUUCUUUUAUCCUUGAGAAGAGUAAAUGAUGAUUGUAGGGGAAAACUGAUGCUUAUUUGGUGGAGAUCCUGGCACUUGAGGAAUGACAUAAUCUUCAGUAAAGGUGACGCUUUUGUUACUGCCUCUGCUCAGUUCUUAUUCAGCUAUGCAAAGACUUUGGCUUCUCUCGAGGGCCGUAUCCCUGCUCCAGACCCCAAAGGGAAAUCUCCUCUGUUUGAUAUGAGUGCUGCUCCUCUGAUGCCGGCGACGCAAAAAUUGUUUAAAUGGAAACCACCCGAGACGGGCUGGAUAAAGCUGAAUGUUGAUGCUAGCUUCUUUGCAAGUUCUGGUGCUGCUGCUUGGGGCGCGAUCAUCAGGGAUGAGAAUGGCAGUGUCCUUGUCUCGGCCUGGAACUUGAUCAAUCACUGUCCGAAUGCGGAGACGGCAGAAGGGACUGCUUGCUUAGAGGGGAUUAAUUUGGCGAGACAGUUCUGCAACUUGCUUUUGGUGGUUGAGAGCGGCUGCCAAAGCCUCAUUUCUCUGAUCUGGGCAUACUUCGAGAGCCCCCCUGCGUUCUACUCUUCUGGAUAUCCGUCAGUUAGCCCUGUUGUUUAUUAGAUUUCAGUUUACUAGUAGGCUUAAUAACAGUGUGGCUCACGAGAUUGCUAAUUUCUGUCUUAGAGUCUCUUCAGGUGGUGUUUUAAGGAGAGGUGUGCCUCCCUGCGUGGAGUGCCUGGUGGAGUACGAUUGUAAUAACUUUGUUUCUUGAGUAAUUUAAAACCCCCCUUUCAAAAAAAAAAGAAACAAAUGAAAACUACCAGUGGUACCGGUAGUUUGUUUGUGUACCCCAAGCUGUGAGAGAACUGAAAUCAAUGGGAAUGACAACGGUUUUCUUGGAUCUGGGCCCCGCUCAUCUCAUCAGUUAACUGCACGCCCACGAGGGUGCAUUUAUUCACCUCCUCAGGAGAUCCAUACUCUUCUCCCCCCUUCAGCUGCUUCAUCUCCAAGCAAAGGUACCCAGAAAUUUGACACAUUUUUAAAGGAUCAAAUUCUGCAGUCUGGAGGAGCAACGGGGCUCUUCCAAUUCGAAGAAAAGGGAAGAAAUUAAGAGAGUUAUUUGCAAGUUUGUAUCACAAGACGCGUUUAUUAGUUUUCUUGUCCCAACUGCUUCAAGCAAAAUCUUAAACUGAUUCAAAGGGUUUAACUAUAUGAUUGAAUUAAUAAGUUAAAUUAAUCAUCAUACAUACACUGUUGUUUGUAUAUGUUUUCGGGGAGUCGGUGAGGUGUAACUUCCAUUAGCAUACAAACUUGAGAUUUAAAUUUUAAAUUUGCUUUGUCUUUUGCGGUGACCUUUAAAGUGAAGAAGGUGAACACUUUCUGUACUAAUCUUGCACCCACCUCACUUGAACCAAAGCAAUGCCGUACUACUCCUGUGGAGACAUGGAGUAGAACGCUAUCUGUUGAACACCUUAUUUCUUCGGGUACAAACUUUGCUGUUCAUGAAGAACUUUCCUCGUUCAGGGCCCCAUCUCAAUUACUGACCUAAGCCAACCAAACAUAAUGGUAGGUAUAUAGCUGGUGUUCAGUAGCCAAUUUCUCCCAACACUCUGUCAGCAGGGUGUUAACUAACGUGAUGUUAUAAUUACUCAAACUGAAAUCAACUAUUAGUAUCACUCCCUUUUUCUAUCAGAGUGAAAUGUUGGAUGAAUUUAGAGGGCACACUUCCAUUCGUAGGAUUGAUUCCAAAAAUGGAGAAGUCAAGAGAAUUUGGCAGAGAAACAAUCUGCAGUGUAAAUUUGUACUUUUCUGUCACCUUACCUGAACACACACACAAAAAAAAAUGCAAAGUUUUGGAUCAUGCAUGGUACAAAAUGUACGUUUAAUCCAGGAAUGCACAUGCUUUGCUGUACAUUUGAAGCAGGGAAUAAUGCACACACAGCGGUUGUCACUUUGCUUUCUGGCCCUGCUGGCAACCCUUUUGGCAUGAUACGAGCAUGUCCAUUUUGUAUCCUCCAAGAUACGAUCAUGCCGAUGCAUGCACGCAUAUAUGCACAGAUCGGUCGACCAGGAAAUAUACGUGUGUGCAGAUCGAUGGGCGUUGCUGAUGCUGCCAUCCAGAAGAAGUUAAUGAGAUUACGAUCAUUUUGAUUUGGUGAUGGCAAGAAAGAUUGCGUGCUUUUGUAUAAUUGAGACAUGAGCAUAGCAUUGUUUUUGAAUUUUAGGUAUCAUGUGCGCCUUUGAAUGAUAGAAAUAGUUAAUGAUGGAUUUAUGCAUGAAAAUAUGGCCAUCGCUUUCUUACAGAAACGAAAUCCGACAAGAGAGAAGGUGCAGAAGCCAAAUUAAAAUUCUUUUAUGUAUAAUUUUCGUUUAAUUAUCUUGAGCGAGCUAUCUGGCAAAUCUGAUUACCUUGUUGGUAUCACUCCCUCGGUUUAUAAAUAUCUGUAAAUGCAGUUUUUUUACAGAAAAAAUAAAUAUUUGUGUCUGUUCUUUGAGAUGAUUAUUAUGCAUUUUUCUGAGGACUGAAGAUAUGAAUAGUACAAAGUUCAUUUUAUCAUGUGUAUGCUGCAAGGAAAAAAAACUAUAUUAUGCCCCUGAUUUGGUGGCAAUGAUCGAAAUGAAAAGGCUAGCUAGCAGCUAAGCUAAUGAGCGGUGACUUUACAGCUUACGGGCAAAUUAAUUAAGAGCCUAACCAUCGAUGAGGGACAAAAAGUGACAUGCAUGCGUUACCAACAGUGACUUCUUUUAGAUAUGAUACUGAAUGGAGCACUCCUAUUAGCUAGCUGUCAGGAGCACUCAGAUGUUGCUAAGCCUGCUGAUAAUAUUGUCUGGGAUUGAAGGAGCAUAGUUAGAUAACCAAAAGAACUCCUGUUAGUUGGCUGGUUGGGCUCCAUUUUCCUAUACAAAAAAGUUCUCCCAAAUAUUCACCAGCCGUGCCGAUGUAUGUUCAUCGGCAGGGCUGGUUCUUCCAACUACCUCGGUGAGUGGUGAUCCGAUAACCGCUAACUUUUUUUAAUAAUACAAAUUAAAUAAUUAUUUUUGAAAAUAAUAAGUGUUUUUCAGAAUUUUCAAAAAUAAUACGUCCUCGGUAUGGGCGAUUAGCUUCAGUUGGCCUGACCGAAACCGAUUAGGACAACUAAUCGGCUUGGGCGAAGCUGAUUAGUUCCAGUUGGUUUGGGCGAAGCUGAUUAGUUCUAAUUGGUUUCGUCCAAGCCGAUUGGAACUAAUCAGAUCUGACUGCACUAAUCAGUUUCUCCUAAGUUACUUAGUUGCAUUAUCAAUGCAUGUUUAAAUAGACGUAGCUUGUGUUUCGUCCACAAACCUAGCAAUUCGACUGAAAUUAAGGCACAACUGAAAUUAAGAUAACAAAUUAACAUAAGCUGGUUACAGAACUGAGGCACGAUUGGACUGAAAAUAAAACAAAUUGUCCAAUCGUGUCUCAGUUCUGUAACCAGCUUCUUUAAUUUUCUCUCUGAAUUUCAGUCGAAUUGCUGGGUUUGUGGACGAAACACAAGUUAUGUCCAUUUAAACAUGCAUUGACCAUGCAACUAAGUAGCUUGGGAAAAUUGAUUAGUUCAGUCGGAGAUGAAUAGUUCCAAUCGGCUUGGGCGAAACCAACUGGAACUAAUCAGCUUCGGCCAGACCAGGCCCUAAUUGGCUUCGGCUAGGCCGAUUGGAGCUAUUUAAAAAAUGAUUAUUUAAUUCAUAUUAUUUUUUAAAAAAUAACCCCGAUAACCAGCAGGUUACAGGAUGAAGUAUGGAAGUGUGGUCAGAGUGGAUUAAUUAUACACAGAUAUGGUUUUCACGCAUAUAUUUGUAGACGCUCUAUUCCAGAUUAUUAGAAGUUUUAUUUUACCUUUGUCCUAUAAUCAGGAUUUUUAAAAAAGGUCGACCAAAUUAGUUACUUUUUUACGAAUAUUUAUACUCUCAAAGAAGUACAUACUAUUAUGAAAAUAUAUAUCAUGAUGAUUUAGUGGAAAUAAUAUGGUAUAUUUUCUUGUAAACUUGUCAAACUUUAAGAAGUUUCGAUUAGGACAAAACAUAAAACAUCAUAUAGUUUGAAGAUUCACGAGCUUAUUUUGGGUCUCAAUUCUAGUACUAUCUCCGAUCCAUAUUAAUUGUCGAAAUAUUACAUGUUUGAACACCUCGAGAGACCGAGCCGGCAGUUCUUGAGAAAUGACGAAGUCACCGUAGGCGUCUCGUUGUUAACUGGUACGUCACCUACCAAUGAAAAAAUAGCGCCGAUUAAAUCCUGAAAUAAAUCCAGGUAAAUAUGAACACCCAUGUCAAAUUUAGAUCUUGAACAUGAGUGGGCUAGUUCCAUCAAAGGAACCAUCCCAACUGAGCCAGUUCACUUCUGACUUGGAGCCUGAAGUAGCUGCAGAUGGGCUUUGCUUGAUCUACACUUAUCCCCUUUAAUUUUCUCGCGCUUUUUGUCAGGGGUCGUCGAGUUGCUCCAGCUAGCUAGCUAGGGCCGGUGAGCUCGGGAUCGAUCGUCGAUUAUCCCGGUGUACGUACUUAUUGCUUGCUUUUUUGCGGGAUGAAUCGGUUGCUUGACUUACGGCCGGCUACCGGAUAAUUGAUUCAGUAUAAUUACAAUUAACGUGCAGUGCAGGGUCAUCGUGGGGGAACACGUACGUGUUACUAACAUGAAAAUAAUAAGCUCACUCGUGGAGCAGGACGUUUUUUAGACAUGAAUACAUUCAUGUUUGAACAAAUUUGAAUCAUUUAGUAUGGGACGGAGGGAGUAGAACUUUAGAAGUACAGUUCCACGUGCACCUAGUAAGUACUGCGCUAAUUGUUUAUGUCGUUUUGGACCAAAGCCGAGAACAAGUUAGGAGUAAUAAACUGAACGAAGAAUGGACAUUCAGAUCUCUGGCGUGACAAUUUUUCUUUCAUCUUGUAACAACUCUGGCUUUGAAGCGUGGAAUAAUAUAUUCAUGUUCUGAGUCUUUCAUCCCGAUGAUUGCCUAAAGAAAACUGAAUGAGGAACGAUUCGUACACGUUCGCAGGUUACAACUAGUACCGGCGCCGGAUGGAUCGAGUCCGCCGACACGAGACUAGUAAAAGGAAGCCAUAGCUUAGCCGGUACGCGGUAGCGGCAGCAGAGUAGCCUGCUUUCGGCCUCUGCAUAUAUCACUGCAUGCGCCCGGUCGGUUCUAACACCUGUCCCUCGUCCCAUCAGGCAUCAGCAACCGAAGCGUAGCACGGAACGCACGGUCGGUCGUUUCCUUGACGUACCGCAUGCCUAGCUUGUUUCUGAAACCACACGUGUACUGGGCUACUGGUCGCAUCAAGCGCCGAAAUUAAUCGGUUAAACCCGUACCGUACGUACGUGUUCCUUCCGACUAAUGGAUGGAUGGAUGGAUGGAUUGAUUCGGGAGUGCAUGCGCCUUCUUCAUAUUUUUUUGCUGCUUUGCUUCUCUUCAACUGUUCCAGCGCCUAAUAAGCCGCCGUGCACCGUGGGCCGGCGACGGCCCCGAUUAGCACAAUACCGCAUUCUUUUUAAUUAAUUUUCUUCUUCCAUGUUUCAUAAUUCUUGUCUCAAAUCUAGAACGGAAGAAAGGAGCUGUUUCAUAAUUCUCGUCUUAAAUCUAGAACGGAAGAAGGAGCAGGUGAUUUUCUGCAUGCGGUACGAUUAUCUUGCAGCAGCUACAUGCUUGCUGUCCGUCGGAUUUCUAUUGUCUCUCGCGCGGGGAAGCGAACGGGAGCACGGAAGAUUCCCCUCUAGCUCGUUCGGUCCUGCGCACGUGCUGCAUGCGAGCUAACUGCCAUAUAAUUGCACUGUUUGUUGAGCACAAAGGUGGUUUGGUUCCUUUUCUGAUACCGGGACAAAUUCUCUUUUCAUUUUACCGGUACCAUGUAAACCAAUUUUCAUACUUUGUACGUAGACCCCAUCGAAAAAAAAAAUUAGACCCCCUCGAAGAAAUAUAUAUUUUGUACCUAGUCACCUGUCAAUCAGAUAGAGCCUUGAAAACUAGGAGUACAUCAGUAAGAGUUCAUGUGGAAUGCUACUCCGUAACAAACUAUGUAUGUUCAUCCUGCCAAGUGCCGACCGAUCUGCCACGCCGCCGGUGAUCAAGAGACAACAAAAGACUCACUCGAUCCUCCCGGGAGGCCGGGAUUUAGAUACGGAUGGCAGCACGGCACGUCUACGCGACUACGCCACUUAACUGAAUUCCGGAGCCCCUAAAAGAAAGAACUGAAUUCCGGAGGAGAAUUCAAUCAAAACGAGUACUGGCAUUCAUUCAGUGCUCGAGCCAUGGCGUCAGUAAACUCGAUCCUCCCUGUUUUCGUUUCGGUUGGUCCAACGGUUCUUCUUGCAUGCAUUCAAGGCGCGACCGCUGUCAGUUUGUUGGCCAGCCAGCCAGCCAGACACAGAGGCAGACAGGGGCACCUGCAUCACUGCACAAGUCUGCAGGUGCACGCUGAUCAGCUUAAAAUGCUUAAUUUGAGACAGAUGGCGUUGGAUCGACUGGAAAAAGCAAAAGCCCUUCGAUUCAGACUUCACGGCAGCUGAUUUUUUGGGAAGCACAGGUCAAGGCCCAAUUGGAAGAAUGGGCCGGGCCAGGGACUGACAGAUCGUCAGCAUCAGCGGUGUCAAACUCGUCUUCAUGGACAGACCAUUUCUCAACAUCUGACGUAGACGUAAGAUUUUUUUUCUCUCUCGCUGGACUACGAAUUUUGAUUCCGCUAAGAACAAUUUUGAUGUCUUCUUGAAAUAAUUUUGAUGACGAGAAGAGGAAGAAGAAGGCAAAAAAAACACAAAUCACUGUCGGUUUCAGGUCGUUGCGCUGUGCGGUAGACAAAUCAACGGUCGCGCAACGAGACAUGCCGACCAGAUUCACUGAACAGUACGCACGCCCAAGUGGCCGCCGGAAUCUUCGAGCAACUGCUUACUGUUACGGUUACAGUGUUACCUUGCCAAUUUUUGCAACUCAUGAAUUUUACAGACCAUUUCCGUGCGAAUAAAGGGGGAAAAUAAUCCAGGUUUUCGAAAUCGGACCAAUCAAUUCACAUCUAACAGGAAAUAUGUACAGGAGACAGAACUAGUAAUAACCAAUACAAUAUAAAGAAUCGAAUCUAGCUACUGUAUAUGAACAUAUCGUAGAACACUACUACACGUCUACACCUGAUGCAGUGAUCAUAAGCGGAAGGAUUCUAGAUUCUAGAAGUUUCUAGAGCACAUCAAAACCCAUCGUAGUAGCCGCCGAAUGAUAUGCUCGCCCUGGUGGACGAUGCACCUCCCAUGACUGAUGACAAUCUGGAGGCCUGCUCCACUACCUGCUGAAUUCUCUGCAGAUCAAACAAGAAACCAUCAGGAACCCAGGAAACCCUGCACAAUUUUUAAAAUGAUGGAUUAAUUCAAGAACAGAAUUUAAAAAGAAAGAGUUAUCAAACCUCGUCGUCAGCAUACAUCUGGAACUGGGUCUUCUGAUUCUGCAUCUUCUUCUUCUGGUGCUGCUGCUGCCUGCCUCCAAGCAGGAAGAUGCAGAAGGUGGCAGCAGCAACCCCAAACGAGCAGAGUGCCCCAACACCAUUCACCCUCAGAUUUCGAACACUGAAACCAACGCAUUCGAGGCCUGCCCUGUCUUUCAUGACGCCUUCUUCCACCUCAUCACGUAGAUCAGGCGCUGCUUCCACCAUCACCUCAUCCUCAUAAACUUCCUUACAACCGACUGUGCACUUGACAAUCGCUUCCUCCUCCUCUUCUGCGUCAGAGAUCAUCAGUAUCUCGAUCGCCUUCGGCGCGAACUCCCCUCCUGGCCUUGAUUCAGCCUGCGUGACACAGAUGUCCUUGAAUUCGACAACAGGGUCCUGCACAGAGGCGUCUUGCAAUGGUGGCACAGGUGGUUUCUUGGCCUCUUCUUCAUCUAGGAUGCAAUCAUAAGGAGCACGGUGAGAUGCGGGCGCGAAGUGGUUUAUGUUGAUCAUGACCAAAUCGGCGUCAAACAAGAGCCGAUCCUUACCACCAGCAGUGAACUCCUCCAUGAAGAAGGAGCUUCUGUGGUCGGGCAGGAACUCCCAGUCGUCAAGGCUAAUUGCAUCCAUGGAAGCGACUCUGGACAUGGCAAACUAGUGCUAGAACAGGCUUGGUGGAUCUGGUAGUUAUACAGUUGCUCACCUGCUGCAACUAUGGCAACAAUGGAAGAUUCUCUCCAAGAAUCGAUCCAAGUGAUGGUUUGGAAGGAUACUUUCUUUUUCUGUGGAGGGGAACAACAGCUGAAGGAGCUAGUGGGAACAACUUGUUGCACCAAGGUAGAAGGCAAAGCCAAUUUAAGGAGUUUGUGCGUGAGGGGACUUUGCCUUCCUGCUAAGUGACAAAGAUGAAAGUGUUCUUCGGGGCCUACCAGCGGGGACUUGUUUCUUCCUUCCUUCCUCCCUACUCAAUUCUUCCCGGUUGCAGUGCCUCUGCAAGCUAUUAGCAGAGUGAGAAUAUUAGUUCUUCCAGCCUUCCAGGCAAUAUACAAUUAGGAAGUAAUUAUGCAAGGAGAUGCAAAUAAUAGAGAACAGCUUUAGGAUAUAGUGUCGGUGCAGUCAAAUCCUCCGCUCCGACUAGUAAACUCCCUCCAUAAUUCUAAAGUACUCCCAUACUAACUCUAAAAUAAUCACAUGCGCCAGCACAACGUUACAUGGUAGUCUUUACUUGUAUAUGACAUAGCAAACUCUAAUCAAAUCUGUCUUGUCAAUUGCUGUCAAGGAUUAGAAUGCCAUCUCACCUGAUCUGAAAGGGCUUUCGAUGGACAUCCUUUUCAAUCAAGUUAUGAACCAUGUUUCCAGAAAAUCAUAUGCAAGUCAAAUUCAUGGAAAGAGUACUGCAUAGUAAGAGUAACAUAAUGGAGAGGGUCAAAGUUAUUACACAGUAGAUGAUAGACAAAGGAGCUGAUAAAGCGAAAUCAACAGGAACUACAGAAGGAUAGAGACAUACACCAGUUAAACACGGAAGCCAGAAAAGAAUGAGACACGUCUUUAGAAGCUUCUGCAGAGAUAUUAACUCUGGAAAGUUGAGAUGCGACAGGAGACAGCGAUGGAUGAAUUAUGUAGGAACUUGAGGAGAUUGAAUAGGAUCUUCAGAGAAAAACAGAAGUCACUAGAACAUGGGAGCCUAUCAGAUUCAGAGUCAAGAUUUACAAUUCGGAGCUUGAGUCAGCAGCCCAAGCUUCAAGCUGGCGCAGACAACAGUGGCGCACAGGCGUAGGGUAGCACAUUGACACUGUAAACCAACAACAGAAAGAAGUCCUAAGACAUAUACAAGAUGAGGUCCCAGAAAUUUACAUUAAUUCUGAGGUUUCCCACAUGCCUGAAUGAACAUACAUAGCAGGAUAGGAAAGCAGAGUCAAAUAAUUUUGGAUCGUAUGUGAGAAGCUAGACUAUCAAACAUUCCCCAAAAGUCUAGGCUUGCCGUGAUGAGGAUGGUUCACCCAGUGAGACAGAAGCAAAUGAGGAAGCCCAAGCUCGAGCAUUACUGGCCCCUUUUGUUAGAUCACUUGUCUUGCUGCUCAAUCUAAGCUUGCUCCAAAUCCUCUUAACAUCAAGCACAGUCAAUGCCCGUUCCAUAAGUUGGCUUGAUCCCCUACUGAUUCCUAGGUUCAGGUUCCGAACUCGCACAAUCAAGAAGACUCUCAUCUGGGAGAUGACAGUGGGAACGAAGCGUGCCACGACCUUCAUUAUGAGAAAAAGUACUGACAACAACACAAAGGGCUCAUCGUUUGCCAUUUUACGCAAUGUCCAGCCUCCAGGCAUGACUGACCCCAAACUCCGAGUGCUCUCUUGCUGAUCAAGAUCAAAAUACGCAACUGGAUUGAGGCCUGCACCAAGAAAAACUGUCCUUAACAAAAGUGAUUUGAUGUAAUAAAACAACCUAGAUAUUUAAUCAUCAAUAGCUGCAGUGUGCAGCAUAACCAUGUCUAAAAUCAAUUGGACAACGGAAUAAAUCCAUAAUAUCAAGACAUGUUAUUAUGAGCAAUUGAGCAUGCCCAAUUUCUGCAGAAUUAUCAAAUAUGAUGCUAGUUUACAUUCGGAGGCAUCAAUGACUAACACAUAUCAAGAGUAUCAACAGGCACAUGGUUUCGUUCAUAAAAUCACAGGUGAAGGUCGCAGCCCAUUCCCCACCAGGUAACCAUAUAGUCUACAAUGUAAACAAUCUUUCAACCAAUUAGAUGCAAAAUUAAUUCAAACUCCCAAUGAAAGAAACCCAAAGGUGCAUCUUAAUUCUGAGUUUUGCUCAAGUUAGAAAAUGGGACAUAUUCGGAAAAAGCUGACACCAUUCAAUAAACUAUUUAUGCAGGAAACAUGCAAUAAUAAUGAUUGUACCUGUAGUUUCUUUGUAGAAAUCAAUCAGAGAUUUGAGAUCUUUUGUACCCCUAUAACGAACCAUUGAAGUCUCAUUUACAAGAAGAACUGCUGGAAAUCCACGGACACCAUAUCUUGAAAAUAAACUACAGUAAGCAGAGAGGUAUAAUGAGCAGUAAUUCACUGGUAGGAAAAAUGUUACUAACAAAAUGGACAUGAUGCAUCAAUACAAGGGAUAGGCACACAAAGAAAGAGUCCAACAAUCACAUACCUGGGCAUCGCAGAAGAUUCUUCAACAGCAAAGUGAUGUAUCUGAGGGAACAUAGUGCUAAGAGCUUCAAAUAUUGGUCGAAAUUUGCUCGAGAAAGGACACCAUGCAGCAUAGAAGAGAAUUGAGUACGAAGCACCACUGCGCCGAAGGUUCAACUGUUUAUCGAGAGCCUCUCCUCUCACCUUCAAUAGGAGAAAAAAUAUUUUAGGUUUUUAACAGAUAUUCAAUAGCUACAGAACAAACUAGAAGUUUGUCAGAAUCACAACAUGCAUAUUAGCGGUCUAUAUGGUGCCAAGGGUUUUCACUUAUCAUUUCUAGACACUCAAAUGAAAGUAGAAGACAAGCUUAUCAUAUCCGCACUUUAUCCUCAUCAUGCUUCUGUCAAACCGAGAUGUGCAAACAACCUAGAUGCUUCAGAAAUUACACAUACGUAGUAAUUGUAUUCAUGUGUCUCACGCCUGCCUUCUGAAUCCUACUUAAGCCACAAAUUCGAUUCACAUCACGCUUGCCUUAACAUAUGGAUCCCACCGCUGGUGGCUGGGAACGGCAGCAUCAACGCAUCUCGAUGACUCUCCAACACGCCACCCAUGUUUUUGUCGGCCGUCCUUAAAUUCCCCUGGCAUAGUGCCGUUAAUCGGCCGAUUCUAUGUACCCACCAAAGCAUUGCUACACGCAUCUAUUCUAAUAUCUCUUUCAAAACACAUUCCCCGCCCUCCGUAUCAAAACCCCUCUCUGACAUCGCCCUGCUUCGAACCCCAAUCACAAGCCUCAUCAGCGACUCAAAAGCAACCCUGCCCGCUACUACUCGCGCGGGUUGACACGAAAAUAAUCCGCAGACGGAGAAGAUGCAGCGCUGAGUCUCCGGGCUAGCAGCAGAAGACGAGGUCGGGAUUGGAUUGGGUCAGCGUAGGCGGGGGAGGGAGGAUGGGGAGCAUUGGAGGAAGGCGGCUACCUCGAGAGGCGGGGAGGGCUCGAUCCUGGCGCGGGGGCAUCGCGAUCCGAGCGCGUCCAGGAACGGGGGUCCCAGGCGCGGGCACGUGGACCCAAGGCCACCCGCGCCGGGGGAGCCGGCAGCGCCGGCGCCGGCGGCGACGAGGAGGAAGGAGACCACGGCAGCGACGGUGACGGCGACGGCGGCGCGGCGCAUCGUUGGAUUCGCAGCUCGGAAUUCCUCUUCCUCCCCCUCCUUUGCUGGGGAAUUCCUCUCUUUUUCUUUUGAAAACUGGGGAAAUUUCUUUCUCGGUGCGCUCGGUGGGAGGGAAGGAGGGAGACUGGUAGAUGAGAUUUGCCCGAUGCCUCGAGAUUAUUUUUGGGCGUGGGUGACGUGGGAAGUGGCCAUUGGUUGUGACUCCCGUACGUGUGCUGUCCCCCGGCUGGCCGGCUGGUUGGUAGGCAUCGUCACGUGUGACGACCUGGGGCGCGCGGGGCCCGCCUGUCAGCGGCUCUGUUCCCCGAUGCUCGGAUGGACGGAUACGGGACCACCCCCGGUGCUGGUUUCGAAGCAGAUUUUCUUAUUUUGUGUAAAUCCAUAAAGGAUUAUUAUUCCCAACGACCCAACAUGUUCUUACAAACAAAAAUCCUCGCAUUUUGUCGAUCUUUUCGCGGGUCACACAAUGGGAGGCAGGCUGGUGAAAAUUUACAUCCACAGUUCAUUCUUAUCAUUUUAUCGACGGGAUGGUGAAAUGUACUACUUGAUUUGUCCCAUAUUAACUGAUUCAAAAUUUGUCCAAAUACGAAUAUAUUUAUGUUUAAAAAACAUUUAAAUACAUGUAAUACAAAGUCACUUAAUAUGUGACGGAGGAAGUACAAUCUUUGACACAUAUUACUUGUCGCAGAUUUAGUUGAGUAGUUGUAAGUUUUACGCUGGGGCCUAUCCGUUGGGCACGUUCAUUUGUGUCUGUGGUCGACGCCUCGAAUUUUUUCCACGAGACCGUGUGCAGCGGUGCAAGACAUUGGAAAGUUUUUUUUUUCUUUUUGUAGUGCGUUUUUUUAGUAAAAGGCAUUGGAUCAAAUUCAGCCCACUCCUCAUGCCUGACCCAUGUUGCCAUUUCCCGGCCCAUCUUUAGGUCUCCACCGGCCAGGCCGGCGAUCUAUUCCAUUCAACCUCGCCGCGCCGCGCAGUCAGUGGUAAAGAACGGCGAACCCCGUCUCCGCGAUGCAGAUCCUCCGGCGGAAAUUUCUCGAAGCUUCCGGCGGCCUCUCCCUGCACCUCCUCCGCUCUCCACCUCCCGCUCGCCACCUCCACCGCCACGCCCAUGCCGUCUCCACCUUCUCCGCCGCCCGGGGGGCCGCGCCCGCCGGCUCCAUCAGCGCCACCCCGUGGGCCGCCACCCAGCGCCGCGGCGCGAAAAUGCUCGGCUCCGACGUAAUACCCUUUUCCCUCUCUCGCUCUCUCAUCUGUUCGCUUGGCUCGUGUCCUGCCCGCCCGCCCAGGGUUUAGCUGGGGUUCUGCUAAGCUAGCGCAGACCACUGUCUUCUGGCUACUGCUGAUUCGUUCAAUUGGGAACGAAUUUUUGGGCGAAUUGCUUCGCAAGCGGAGUGGUUCAUUCCUUUUUUUUUUGUUCAGUUGCUUUUCAUAGGUGACUUAACGGUGGAAUAAAUGUCAUGAAAUGCUUCUACUGUAUCAAAAAAAGUAUUACUCCCUUUGACCCAUGCUACUUGUCGAAAUAUUGCACGUAUCUAGAUGCUUUUUAAACAUAGAUACAUCCAUGUUUGGGCAAAUUUGAGACAAGUAAUAUGGGUCGGAGGGGGUACUAGUUUUCUUUUUGAUUUGGAAUGCUCAAUUUGUAUGUUCUAGUGAGGAAGGCUUCCUCAUGAACGGUGUAAAGCAAACUCAUUAGAUUGCUGUGUCGAUUCACCAUGCCAGCCUACGGUUGUAGUUCCUCUGGCGCAGCACACGGGCGCCAGGAGCCUAUCCUAUAAUAGAUUUAGCUGAGUAUUUGGUUGAUCAGCUUGACAUAGAUGCAAGAUUUAGAAGAGGUAUUACGUGUCUUGUCAUUGAAGUUGCAUUCAACAAUUAGAUUUAGCAUGAAGGUCUCCAGCCUUCCUGUGGUCCUAAAAUUACCGCAAAAGGAAUUUUAGUUGUGUAGCUUUUAUGAUACGCUGAUUAUAUCCUUAACCUGAUUUUGAUAAUGUUUUUUUUUAUGUUCUGUUCUUUACUAAUCUUUGCAGAAGCACAUAACGAUUCUUGCACUAACUUGGGACUGUCUUCGUAUAUUCUAGGUGAAACUUGGAAAUGUAAUACAGAGAAAAGGUGUGUGCUUACAUAUGUUUCAUUUCAUUUCUGCUUCCAAGUAUCAUGGAUUGUUACUUAUCCAGCCUUCUGGUCAACCUUAAAAUCAAGGUCACAUUUAUCAGGUAUGUUUAACUGUCUUUUUUGUCCUGCUCCCGUUGAUACUUCCUGUUCCGCAUGAACUUUAUGGUUAAUAUUCAUCUAUCUUUGUGCCAAGGACAAACAUUAUGUCCUUUCUUGACUUACUCGUGUUUUGUUCAGGUGAUAAAAGCACAACAUUCACAUCAAGGAAGAGGAGGAGCCACAAUACAGGUAUUUUUGUUUCAUUAUUUCAAUCUGCCCCAGUACUUAAAGGUUAAAGCUGCAGACCACUACGAUGAUGGCAAUCUAAUGUAAAGCUCGCCAAAUUUUUUCUUCCAUGUAUUGCCUCAUAUAUAAAUUAGUGUUACCUUAGCGUCAUUAGAGUGCCUAUUUUUGCAACAGCAACAUAAUUUACAUGGUACAGGACAUGGAAAAAGAGAACUUAGCAACAAAAUGUCUAUGGGAAUAACAAGGACAGUGAGAUAAAUAACUUGGCACCUAGAACUACAUUAUACAUGUAGACACUGGCAUUGGGUUGACUCUUAUAAUUCACUGUUACCCCAUUGGCAUGUCUGCAAUGUCAUGAGAACAUCGGGUCGAAAGAAGAAAAAGUUCAUGGCACCGUUUUUUGUUAACUUUCAUAGUAUGUGCUUGACUUAACUGGGAGCUUAAGUUCGUUUUUGUGUGUGAAUUUUGUUCUCAAUUCUUGAGUGCUGCAGGUUGAACUGAGGGAUGUUGACACUGGAAACAAAAUAGUAGAAAGAUUUCGUACUGAUGAGGCUCUCGAGAGUACGGACAUUUCCUUCACCUCUUAUAAAAAAGACAUGUUGCGUUCUGAUUUUUCUUGUGCAGCUAUGUAUAACCUGACCUCAUUAAGAUUUUCUAUUGUGCAAUUCUUCAUGGGCAGCUCUUUAUUUUUCCUGUUUAUAAAUCUAAGCAAUACUUUCUUCUAUUGUUUUCAUUACAUUCAAUCAUCAAUCAUUCAUGUGUCACUCACAAGCUAUCAAACAUCAUCAAACGAACUACAUUAAUAUGUUGAGCUGGUGAUCAUCUAAAAUCAACUAAUCCAUGCAUUAGCCAACACCGAACAUACCAAUCCCAACCGUCCAGUGGGCAGUUGCAGUUCCAUAAAGCGCAUCCAUGAUAGCUGUAGUUUGGAUUGGUUGUUCAGAUUUAAAUUUUGCAGUCGUGUUACUAAUGGCAGGCUAAUCAUAAGUUCAUAACAUACUUUUAUUUAACUCAUUCAGGAGUUUUUGUUGAGGAGAAGUCUUUCACAUAUCUGUAUCAGGAAGGAGACAACGUGGCACUUAUGGAGUAUGUCUGUUUCCCUGUUUUCUUGUCACUCUAUCAUUAACAUUCUGUGAUGUGGCCAUGCCCAUAUCUAUUUAUAUCCAUUGAGCGCUGUGUUCAUUUGGAAUCUAUUUUUGCCAGGCCUAACACAUUUGAGCAAAUAGAGGUUUCGAAGGAUCUGUUUGGCAAAGCCGCUGCAUAUCUGAAAGGUCCAACCAAUAUUAAUCGACAACCAGAAGAAACGUCAAUUGUUAUCAAUACUAUAUUCUAAAAAUAUGCUUAUGUUUUAUCUCAUGAACAGCUAGAUACUUGGUUUACUUUUGUGCCUCUAGCCCUCAUAACAUCACAACUGCCUGAAAUUUUAAUUCUGAUUAAUAUAAAAUUGGGUGGAACACUUAAGUUUUUGCCUUACGAAUGAAAGUGAUAUGUACAGGAGUCUUUUACUAGUGGCCUUUAUUAUAUCCAGUAUAUGUGAUUAUGUGCAUUCUUCAUAGUUCGUAACCAUAACAAAUACAUCAGCUCCUUGGAGGCUUGCUGGCUUUCUAAUUGACAAUGUUCAUGACUCAAUGUUGAUAUCUUUUGCUCAUUUUUGGAAUUGUGGUUUUAAAUGCUUUUAUUUGUAUCAUCGUGUCCCACUGAUUUUCUCACUUAUAACAGAUGAGAUGAGGGUGACUCUACAAUACUAUGAUGGCCGGGCAGUGUCUGGUUCAGUGCCUCCCCGUGUGACUUGCACCGUCGUUGAAGCACAGCCUAAUACUAAAGGGCUAACUGCUCAACCUCAGUGAGUUUAUACCAUUAUUUCAUCAUUACAUUAUUCUUAUUCCUGUAAUAUUCUGUUCAUAGUUUCUGGCUUUCUGCCUCAAAAUAAGCAUUCUUGUCAAAUGUUUAGAAAUAAAGUCUGGCAACAGUAUAUUCCAUGCUAUUGGUGAUCGGGGUGAGUGCUUAUAGUAGUAUAACCAUAAUGAGAAUUUUUAGUUGGGGGGUGAUCAGUCCAAAUGUUAAUUUGUCUUUGCAGAGAAGAAAGUUGAAAUUACUCUUAUGCCUUAUGGUCAGUAGUUACAAGCAGUGAAAGCAUGGUAGUUGGCCAACUUCCGUAGUUGCCCAAAACAUGACCGUCCUGUGCCUUAAACUUUCACCUACAUCUUGUAUUUUGUGCUAGGUCACACUUAAUCACUCACAAGCUUCCAUGGACCCAUGUCAGCGACUAUUUUUGGCCUCAAAAUUCCAUUAAACUGUUAGUAAUUCUCAUGAACAAUCUGUUAAUUAAUAAUAUUGUGUAGAGUUCAUGCAUAAAACUAUGUUGGCAAGCUAGUAGAAUGUAAACCACAAGAUUCAGUAUGAAGAUCAAUUUAGUAAAAGUACAUCGUGUAAUGCUGAGUUGCUGACCAAGUGACCAGGACUUUUGAGAACUGAGGCUGGUUUAUCAUUCUACUUGCACUUUGCAGUAAGACCAUUCUCUGAUGCUUGUGGCCUGCAAUAGUAUGGAGUUGUAAUGUUGUAUAUAUGCACAAGCGCUGAGCAGAUUUUACUUUAAUCAGCUUCACAAUCUUUUAUCAUCAAAUAUUUGAGGUCCAUUGGUAUGCGCUAACUAAGCUCAUGUUUGUACUAAAUGCAGAUAUAAAAGGGUCUUGCUGGAUAAUGGUCUUACUGUGCUUGUAAGUUGAUGGGUGCCAUCUCGUAGAGUUUAUUCACCUAGUCUUUUAAUGAAUGAUUGAACUGCAUCUGAUAUUUUAUAUUAACAAAUGUAUCCACAAGAAAGGAUAUAAGCUCUAACUGAUCUUAGUUGACACUGAAAUGAUUCAAAAAGCUGAGAACUGCUACUUAAAAUGUUUUUGGUUUGCCAUUGAUGUCUUUGUUGCUGUAGAUUAAUUGGUCAGCAGUAGAUCAUUUCUGUACACGACUGAUUUGGACUUACUGAAUCGGCACUGUUUCAUUCUACAUAAGAUUUUUGAAAGUACAGAUACAUCCCUUUUAUAUUAGUUUCUCAUGAUCCACCCCAUCUUUUUUGCCUCUUUAUUUAGUGAUUAAAUUUCAGCAUUCUGCCUCAUUUCUCUCUAAUUCUGUUGUUUAAAUCAACAGAACCCCUAGUUUCUACCAUCAAAUAAGUUCCUUAUACUUUUAAGGAUCUCUUACCUCCAUUACCUUUUUGCCAAUUGUAGGCACCUCCUUUCAUCGAAGCAGGUGAGAGCAUUGUUAUUACUACCGUGGAUGAUUCAUAUGUGACGAGGUAAGUUAUGAGAAAUCUCAUUUAAUUGUAUCCUCUGAUGUUCUUUAGAUGAAUGCUGCGGCAUACGAUGCCCAUCUGUAUUUUUUUUUAUUCUUAGUGAAUUCACUGAAUCAAUUUUGCAUUUCAGGGCCUAGUGACAGUAUCAUGUAGAUGACGCUUUGUGCCCUGCAAAUUGGGAUUCGACUUGCACUAUCUUAGAUAAGUUUUCUUUGCCAUUGCCCAUUGGCAUUCUGAAUCUGCCCCGGGCGAAAAGGGCACCCGCUUUAUACCAAGAAUGCAGUGUUCAGCAACACAUUUUGUUUUCACAGGUAAUUUUAGCUGGCUUCUCGUUUUUAGUGUUAUCAUAACACAAUUUCACUGUGGUAAGUCAUGAAAAAAUCGAUAUAGAACCUAUAUUGUGCUACGCAGGCACAGAGUGAAAUGUAUUUGCCUUUGUACGCCUCACUGUCUUGUGAAAAUAUACUGGGAUUUGCCCAAUCAUUUCCAUGCAGAUAUGCAGAUGAAAAUCAAUUACUUAUAUUAUUGUUCCGUACAUCGUUUCCCUGUCAGAACAUUCUCAAUUCACCUGCUAAUAGACGCAGUACUUGGGGCGAAAUUCUUGAUUUUGCUCAGUGUGCAGUCUGCAGUUUGCUACUGGAAUUGAAAAUCGGUAGCCAAUGUUUGAAACAAUAAGCUAAUUGCCUUUAUAUACAGCUAUUAUCGGUAUCAAAUGCUCUGUACGGCUGUGUUUCAUGUACAUCUCUAAGCUGCAGGAGUCAAAAACUACAAAAUCCUAGCAACAAAAAACACAGGAUUCAUAUAUUUCACUUGUAAGCAUGGACGUAAUCCUGGAAAUAGAAAUUCUUCUGGAUGAAGCUUGCGAGCCAGCGAGACGCGGCGAAGCACAGCACGGCCGCGGACACGACGGCGACUCUCUGGGCCACCGACUUGACCAGCGUCUCCUUGGCAACGGUGAGGAACCCGACGAUGGCCACCGCCGCCACUUGCAGGGCGACCUCCAGCGCCUUCAUGGCCUUCAGCGCCGCGCUGCAGCUCGUGCACUGCUCGACGUGCGACCAGUAUCUGUAACGGACGCCGUGACAGAAUUUGAUCAGAUCGUGUCACUGAAUUCUUUCUCAGGUGUUCCAAUCUCAGGUUGCCUGGAGAAGAACUUCAAAUGGUGGCUUGCUAUUCUGUUUACCUUUCCAUGAGCUUGUCUUUGGUUGGAGUCGCCGGCAGCUGAUCGACUGUCGGGGCAGCCCAGCCGACCUGGCUCUUGCAGUGCUUUCUGAACCAGUUCCUGAAGGCGAUCACCAUGCUGUCCGAUGACGUUGGCACAUACACGGCCUUCUGCCAGUUCUCAACGCCAGCAGCGGCGAAGUUGCGCUCCUGAGACCAAGAAAGAACAAUGGCUUCACUCCAUAGCUUGGAUCACCUGAACUUAGCUGAAAAAUGUUUACCUCGACGUGGAGGAGGUAGAUGUCCGAGUCCAAGAUGGCGUUCUGGCCGAUAUGAUAGUACCACCGUGGUAUGAUCUUGUCGAGCCAGAGGCCGACGUUCCUCGGGAACGCCCAGAUUACCCUGCUCCUCCCUGGAGCCACCGGAACACACAUGAACACCAGCAUGAUCCGAGGCUUCUUCUUCUGCACCAUGCGACAUAACUUUUUUAACUAAUUCCGUGGAUUCCUACCGUUUCAGUUUCGCUCCCAUUCUCGCAAUGUGACAUGGGGAGAACUGCUUGAUCUUGUCAUACCUCUCCCUCUUCUUGUCUGGGCAACGGCGAGCCAUAGAAUGUGCACGGCGCGACGUACCGGAAGUAGCCACCGUUCUCCUGCGGUGAAAGGAACCCGUCCACGCCGGCCUCCUCGAUCUUCAUCUUCAUCGGCCCGCCGCCUUCUCGGUCAAACUCAACUGUGAAGAAGAAACGAACAUCCGUCAGUAAACUGAACGUGACAAUGCAACGGGUGCUCUCGGCUCAUGUCAGGCAGGGGGCAUAUCUUCCAGGGUCUUCCUUCUUGCGAAGCCGGCCCAUCAACCCUUUGUGCGCGUAUGGGACAUGCGCAGGGUCCAUGAGGUUCUCAACCAGCACAUCGUACCUGCAAUGCAAACCAAUGAGCUGCUUGCAAAUGCAAUGCUGCUAAGAACAAUCGAUGGAUCGAAGUAUAUAUCGAACAGGCAUUGAGAUUCAGAAGAUGACGAUGAGAGUGAGACAUGCUUAGAAGGCGUUUUUACCCGUAGGAGAGGUCCCUGAUGCCAUAGACGGUGACGAAGGAGGGGUCGUCGAUCUCCGGGAUGAACGGCGGGCGCUUCCUUUGCAGCACAUCCUCGUGUUCGGCGCCGGCCCUCGGGUAGAACCACAGGAUGUUGUUCUGCACCACGCUCGGGUACGCCGCCACGCACGCCUUGCUGUUCUUGUGCACCUGAGAGGAGAGGAAGAUCUCCGAUUGGUCUCCGUGUAAUUUGAGAAUUCACGCAUUUGCUCACGGAGGAAGAAGAGGAUUUGUGGGCGUACGGGUGGGCCGAGGGCGGGGGCCUGGGGGAUGAACUGGCAGGAGCCGCGGCCGUCGAAGCACCAGCCGUGGUACACGCACUGGAGCCGGCCCUUGUCGUCGAUCCGGCCCUCCGACAGCGGCGCCAGCCGGUGCGGGCACGCGUCGUCAAACACCCGCCACUCGCCGUCGCCGGCCGUGCGGUCGUACCAGGCGACGACGCGGAGGCCCAGGAUCGUCUUGCCGUGGGGCGCGCGCGGGUCGAGGUCGCACACGGGGGCCACCGGGUACCACUGGUCCAGCCAAUCGAACCGCCCCUCCUCCCCCUCCGCUCCCCCUGACCACGGGUUUUCCCCCGUCCGCGGCGCCUCCGCCGCUACGGCUGAAGCCGGCGACAACAGCCGCGCAGGAGCGGCUGCUGCUGCUGCUCGGGCGAACGCCGCCGGGGCGGUGGGCGGGCGGAGAAGGAGAGGGAUGCGAGGGCGCGCGCGGGGGGGGAGGAGCAGGAGGGAUAGGGGAUCCAUGGCGCCUGCUCGCUCGAUCGAGAUCCUGGCGGCGGCUGACGGACGCUACGGGACGGCGAGAGGGCUGGAGGAGGAAGAAGAAAGCUGUGGCUGUGGGGAGUGGCGGGAGAGCAUGCGCGGCUUGCGGCUGCGGUUUCGCCGGCACGACUUAUCACCACGUCGCUCAACUUACUCGUCUUCUAUACAGCUUUGAAUUUUUAAUAUAUAUAUAUAUAUAUAAUAUUUUAAGCAAAAUCCAGUGCUUUUGUAGAAAAAUAGGCUCCUUAAGUACUCCCAACGUGCCAGAUUGUACAAUUUGUCCAUGCAUUUGCUCCGUUGCUUUCAGCCUACGAUCAUACAUCCAUGGCCACUAAGUUGACUCCUGAUGUUCAGUUUACAUCCGAAGCAACUUUUUAGCCUUUAUCCAUUUUUGGUUCUUCAGCAACCAAGGAAGCUCCAUUUUCAGGGGUACAUCCAAGACCCAACCAGCACUAGGCUUUCUCAGUUCUCCUGAAAACAUUUCACAAUUUUUAUCGAAUGCAAUAGACAAAUUGAGACCACUAACUAGGACUGUCAGAAGAUGAUGGGUGUUGCAUAAGACCCGGUUCGCUAGGGCAGAUACAAUAGUCUAAACAGAUGAAAGAAAAUCUUUCGCAACAGAAUGUCGCCUGCCCCAUGGUUACUUUUUUACUACAAUAUCAAACAAGUAUGUGGCAAGGUAGACAUCUUCAAUCUUUCGAUGUUAUGACCAGCAGGCCCAGCGCGCCGAUCAGAAGGUACUGCAGGAAGAAGCAUCAUAUAUCAACAUGUCAGCAAUGCACCCAACACCCAGGAAUACCAAGCUACGAACAGCACUAUGUUUCUUUUCUUUUUUUUCAAUUUUUGAUCUCCCAUAAACCAAAAGGUGGAUGAGCGAGGAGUUUAACGAAAUCUGACGGAAAAGUUGCUCCACAUGGACACUCAUUGUUUAACCUCCAGGGCGUCUGUAAUUUGACAAGAAUAAACAUACCUUGAUCAUUGGCUGCUCAGUCAUCACAAUUGUAACCCACCCAACAUAUGGAAGAUAGCUGUUCACAGAAGAAAAGGGUAAUGUCAGCUGAACAAUUUUCACCGGAAUGAAGGCAGAUAAGUGAUGCAAUUGUCAUGGAUACUUACCCUACAGCCCGCCCCAUAAUGUGAUGACGCUGAAGCCAAAGCUGACCCUGUGCAUACAGCAGCCGGUCAUCCCCAAAAUUAUUGUCACCUGAAAGGCAAUUGAUCAGUUGAUAGAACCGUGUAGUAACAUCUACUGUAAAUCAUAAAUUGUUGGCUAUUGAUUAUUAUUGCAGGAUUGCACAAACUGCUUUACCAGUCAGCAGUAUAAUCACUGAAGAAAAUUUACGGCGUUUAAAAAGAAAACGAUGGAUACCUUUCGUGAGGAUUUCAACUUCUGCACUUUCCUGGCGUUCAUGGACCUGCACAGAAAGUAAAGAAAAGCUAAACCAAGCAAGAAAAAACCCUUCAAAUCUUAACAUAUGGCUCAUGGCAUGACUUCAAAAAAACUAUUACCUUAAUCACACGGUGAACUAUUGGAAUUUCACGACCCUACAUACAUAACAAGCAUAUGUAAAUUUAGUGUUGUGGGGAUCAUGCAGCAGCACAUGGCAAAUUUGAAUAUAGGGCCAACAACUGAUGAAUUCAUGAUUCAGCUACUGAUUUAUGGCUUACAAAGCAGUAGGAAUUACAUCAAUAUUGAAAACAACUAUUUCUCCAGUACGGAUGGGAUCUUUGCUCAUGCGCAAAAAUAGGAUAUCACCCUGCAAAGCAUAUAAUGAAUCAUUCAGAAAUAGCAAUGUAAAAUAUAUGAUGGCAUGUUACAGGACGCAAAACUGAACUCUGAAUUGAAACUAAAAACUGAAGACUGGAGUAGAUGAUAUGCACCAAUACUGAUUGACAGAACCGGGAACUUCAAGGAAAAUUUUGGGACGAAUGGGGCCAGCAUCUUAAUCGUAGAAAACAGGCCAAUAAGGCAAUUUUUCUGCCAUUUUUAAAAUUAGUAGAAUUUCUAGGAAACCAAAUAUUUCUUCUAGGAAAUAUACAUAAAUGCUCGUCUCAGUGCAUUGCACAUGCAGCUUCUGAAAUACAGAUUGACCACAGCCAAUUAAGUGCAUAUUUCCAUACAAGCAGUCAACAGAACACUUAUGUCCACCUCAAAUACCUAAUCAUAACAAAAGCACACAUCUAAGCCUAUUCUUGCAUUGUGUAACUUACCCUUUUAAAUCCAGGCUCCAUGCUACCAGAAAGAACCAC
Molecule: long non-coding RNA, 52566 nt
Filed under: Brachypodium distachyon (stiff brome)
Lineage: Eukaryota; Viridiplantae; Streptophyta; Magnoliopsida; Poales; Poaceae
Description: long non-coding RNA (BDIS_LNC000038)
Rfam family: MIR1120/MIR1122 microRNA precursor family (bases 20906-21029)
Source: RNAcentral